AUAAGUUUCCACCCCCAGAAAUUUAGUUAGUACCGAGUUUUUGAUGGAACCAAAUGUUGCUUGGUUGGGCCUGCCAUGGGGAGCUGCUGGGAAAGGCAGUAGAGUGAUUGAUAAGAAAAAUAAGAUGGCCUGUUCUUCUGUUGUUGUAGCAUAUUUUUGACUUCAUGCAAGUAUCUAUAGCUGUUUACUGGGAGUAUCUGUAGCUGUUUGGUUUGUCGCUCCGUAGAUAUGAAACUAUUUUUCUUGAUUUUUUUAUAUUACAAUUUUGCGGAAAAUCUGCUUUCACAGAUCUAUUAGUCCAUGCUCAAAAGUUACUACUCCUACUACUUUUUUUUUUGCUACUGCUUGUUAUUCAAAUAAACCCUAAUCUUUCUGAACACUGAUCAGACAAUUAAUUAUGAGCCUUGCCUAAUUCUGGCAUCAAUAUAUGCUCAAGAUCAUGUGUUUCAUAUAUGCCCAAAAUACAGCACAACCCCUGCAAAGUUGAAGAAAGGAGUGCCCUUAAGAAGCAUAUUUGUGCACAUUUUCCAGACUUGACUUUGUCAAUAUAUAAGCUAUAUAUUACGCAGGAUUUUUUUCGCCCUCAAUAAAACAUCGGCCAAGUUUUUACAGGACAAGAUACCUAGUUCUUCACUCUUCCCGCCCUACAUAUAUCUAAUCUAAACCUCUAACUCCUAGUGUUAGCUGGAGUAUAUAGCAUGCCUGGGUGCUACUCUUUUCCCCUUGUCAGCAGUAGAACAUCACCCUCUUCACCCUCUCUUUCACUGCCGGCAUAGUCUUCAUGGCGCCUCCAUUCCUCCCGUUGGCAUUCUUCACCGAGAGGCUAUCUUGGUCCAUGUAGAAACGUGCCCGGAAUGCGGCUAGAUGAGCGUAGUAAACAGGCGGCACUGCUCAAACAACACAACAUACCAAAGGCCAAAGUUCAGAUUUCUCGCCAAAUUGUUACGUUGAAAGAGUUAAUGUAUUCAGCAGGAGCGCGAGAAGGAAGAAAUUACCGACAGAAACAGAUCGUGUGCAACGCACAUACCUGCGACGAAUUCACAUAGCUAGUAAGAUAUUUUUCAAACUGAAUAACGGAAUGCAACUUUGGUUCUGAAAAAGUAUCAUGAAUUAUAGGAUGGGAACAGCAUACGUGUAGCAAAGGUUGUUCGUCAAAGUCUGCAUUUCAUCCGCCAUGAAAUUGUUCUCGUCCCACAGAACAUGAUAAUGUGCUGGCUUACUGGUGCCCUGGCAAUGUCACUGACAUUAGCUAACUCACUAUAAGAUCAUCUCAGCUUUAACAACAUAAUUAUUGUACAGGCUACUCUCUGCAUUUUGUACAUUCAAGCCUAUAAUCAUAGCCACGAAAUAUGAAAUCAAGGCAAUCCUUUCAAAAUUCAAUCGGACACGUCCUUACCUGGAUUCCAGCAUGGCUGCAGAGGUAGAAAUCAAACUGUGUGGGAUGGCAUAUCUUUGAAUCAACAACGGUGCCUAUUUUAGGCACAACCAGUGAGCAGUUAUGAAAAUUUAUUAGGGCAAAGAAAAUGUAAGUCAAUAAGUGAGUUAUCAAUAUCUUGAUGAUGGAAAUGGCAUGGCAUAUACCAGGCAGGAUAUUUCCGCUCUUGUCGGUGCUGCUUUUAUCGUUGUGGUUGUUUGCAAAUAGUUUUGUAUGGUGACGCUUUUGGACUAUCACAAACGUCACUGGAGGUUGGUAAUUUGGUUCUAAAGAUGCACAAGCCUGAAAAUAUCCAAGGGGUCAAUUAGGAUACUUUAACGUGUAAGCAUGUCAACAUAAUAGGUAGAACAUUAGUUGACAACCUUGCGGAUGGCAUCUAACUCGUAAAGUAAUACUUGAUGGAACUGUCCUGCGCUGACACCGUCCCUGCAGAAGAAAAGAAUUCGUAAUUAUCUGAACUUCCAUACAACACAAAACUGUUGGCAUUAGCAAGCCUUUUGUACCCUGCAAGAGACAUCCAACAUGCACAGUGAAGUACUACCUGUAGAAGAUUAUUCUCAAUGGUUUCUGCCCUGUGGCUUUCCUGAAGGAAAUUAAAAGCUCCCUGCAUGAAGUUACACACAGAAAGGAAAUUCAUCAAGCUCAUUCUGUGCAUGGGAGGUCCUGAUAUUUUUUCAGAGAGAUCCAAUGAUCUGAAGUUGGAUGCUCUACUUAACACUUUCGCCGUGCAUGAUGACGGAUGAUCAAAUGCACACAUUGUUCUGUGCUUCUUUGUCGUCUCGAGUGAACUUGUGCAUUAUCUUUACAGAUGAUGUGUUAUUAAGGGUGUGACUCAGUGCAUGAGAAAUACCUGAUCAUGCCUCCGGUGACAGUGCCUCGCUGAGGAUCAUGCCAUGUUUUGUAGAGAUCCUGGAUGAGCUCUUGCCGAUAAGCUUGAGCGCACACCAAUCCAGCGUACUUUGUAACUUCUGGCCAGUCUUGAGAAGCAACAACCUGUAAAAGCACCGUAUUAGAGGAUAUCAUAUGGAAACUUGGUUAAAGAGACAGCAGAGUAAUGCUAAAUCUUACCGCAGCAAUUGAUGGACUGGUGUCCUCUCUGGUUUCAGGAUGCGUUACAUCCGCACCAAAUAUUAUUGUCGGUACAUCACUGACCAAUGGGAUUCUCCGACUUACCGCGUCCAAGAGUACGGUAUUUCUUCCCCCCAUCUGAUUUCACCAAAAUUGUUAAACAUGAGAUAUAGUGAAUUGUCUCUAUCAUCAGAGACUAACUUACUUUCUGAACGUGAAAUCUACGUGUGAAACGAAGACCAUUGGUCCCAGUUAAUAACUACCUUAACAUUGAUUUUGAGUGAGACAUUCGCCAGGUAUCGUUUGCAGAUCUUAAAUACAUGCUUUGCUAAGCAGCACUGUGACAUUAUUCCCAAUUCGGUCUCACAAAUGCGCUUUAUGUCACCUGAAAAUUAAUACUCAUUAUAUGUGAGAAAAGCAGAAAGGACGAGCAGAGGACUGAAAAAUAUUUGCAACAAAGUACUGUACAAUAGGAGGUGAAACUGCAUCCUCACCAUACAAUGCACCAUUGUUGUCAGGGAGGAUUACCAAAAGAAGCUCAAGCUCCUUUCCCUUGGGUUUUUUCAGUGCAGCGUUAUACACAUGCUUAAGCGCCUGUACUGCUUGCUCUGGUCUAGCCGAAUACAUUGGUAUAGCAGGCUCGCUGUUGAACUCCUGCAAUGCCGUUUAACAAAUAACAGUUACUUGAAAAAAUAUUGCUACUGCAACUGAAAAAAGCAAGCCUCUGUAUAAUAUAAUAUACUAGCAUAAAUGAGAGGUAUACCAUGCCUAAAAGUUUACACGUUUGGGCUAACUCCUGGCAAAAUCCACUGGCAGUGCUUUCUUGAACACUUCUUGAGAAGUUAAUGGAUGCCCAAUGAUUCACAGUGCAUCCAUUGACAACUUUCUGCAAAAAUGAUUUUAUUUCAGUGGUGAAUUGACAACUUCAGGCACAAUAGUAACUCUACUACAACUGAGAAGUGAUGACUUCAGCAGAGUGGAUAUUAACCUUGUUUUUCAUGUCCCAUUGGCCAACACGAGGUAAGCACUCUGACUCUUUUCCGGUAUCAUGAUAUUUUAGCUUCACACAGAAAGGCAAGUCAGGAAUGAGCACAGAAUAGCUGGCAAUAGCAAAUUGGAGAACAGCAUUGAUCUUACCCAGGGUGCAGGCAGAACUCUUGCUUCAAUAGAGGUGAGUUUGUCGCUUAUGUUUAUCCCAAAUUCCUUCGCAUAGGGAUCUUGAUCAUAUCCAUUUUUGUGAACGGUCUGAAAACAGUUGCCUUUUAGUCUUUUAGGCAAUUUUGGUAGGGGCCAGACCAUGUUUUAUGUCACUCAAUGUUGUGUAAUGAAACAAAACAAGAAGAAUUGGCAGCGGGCAGUGAAAAUUGUACUCCUCCUAUAUCGGGUUUUGACUGAAUUAUGUUGAAGCACUGACAAAAAAACAGAGUACAUGCACGUUUGGUUCAUAACCGAGCUUUGCCAAGAUUUUCCUGCUAAACUGUGGCAAGCUAAAAAGGGUGUGGUAAAUAAAUUGGUGUCCACAACUUUGGCAAAAGUAUAUGAGUUCGGUGACAGGUGGAGCAGGCUGGUAAGAAAGUGUGCCGCGACACUUACAUUUGUGCCAGUAAAACAAACAGUAGCUACACACAUCUGUCACUUAUGUUGCAAAGUGUGGCAAUGAAGCCAACAAUAUUCUUCAAUGUACUACGCAAGGAUUGAAAUAAACUUGGCAUGUUAAUUAUUGAAAACAACAAAGAAAUUAUUCAAAAUAAAUUUGGCAUGAUAGUAUCUGAAUUUCUUAUGAAUGGUCUCUGCAAAUAUUGCCAAGUUCAAUCACUUUUGAGUAUACCAAGAAACACUUCAUACCCGUCGAAUAUCCAUUUCCUUGUCUCCAGGCCUUUGGCAUGUAACUUUCAGUAAUGAUGUGAUCUGCUUUUCAUUCAACCUCUUCUUGUAUCUCUGACCUUCAACAAUCUUGCAGACCUGUCAAUAAGCAUCUCGUGUCACACAGUAUUCAGUAAUAGUAAAAGCAUCAUGUAUUGCACUGGCUGAUAGGAAGUUUGGGACAGCGCGAGACUAAAGACAUUAGUUACUGACCUCCAUUGGUAGAUAAUUUGGCUUCUUUUGGUUUCCUACAAGAAGGCAGGGAAGAUGUGGUUGCUUUAUGGUGAAACCAUACAUUUCCUUGAAGUACUCUACAACCGAUUUCACUUCAUCGUCAAUUGGGAAACUGUUAUAAGAAAAAGAGCAAAGGCAGGUGCUGAAAUGUUAGCCCAAGCACCACUACUUUGUUUUUUGCAUGUUUAAGUACAUAUUUGCGUAACAGUGUAAGAAAGGAUGCCAAUAUGCCAUGCACCGUCAAUACGCUAUGCACUUUAGGAGUUAGGACAAGUUUGAAUUAGAAUAGUUUAUCUAGCAAUUGUUAACACAUCUAACACCAAAAACUAAGGCCUCCUAUGGUUUGUAGGAAUUCUGUAGGAAUUCCAUAGUAUAGGAUUCCUACAGGAAAAAAUCAAAGAAAUCUAGCGAAGCUGUGGAUGAGGCUGGCUAAGGGAGAAUAUCAUACGGAAACCCACAUUCGGUUGAAACCAGUGAAAACCACGCGAAAAAGAUGUUUUAGAGUUUCGAAAAAAUCUCAAAAAAUAUGGGAUGUUAAGAGGGUGAUGUUCUAUUUUUUCGAGAAAAUGCAAAGGGCUUUUGCAUUUCAUUGCAUUGUAUUGCCAUGCAAAAUUUCAAGUUCAGAUACAUUAGGGAUGUGAGCUAUCAAAAAGACAAAAUCAGCAUUGAAUAGUGCCGAACAGUAACGUCACUAGUCAUUGCUGAAUUUGUCUUUUUCAUAGCUCGCAUCCAUAUGUGUUUUUACUUGAAAUUUCAUGUUACAAUAGAACAUCAUCCUCUUAACAUCCCAUAUUUCACAUGACAAUAGAACAUCAUCCUCCUAUGGCUUCCACGAAGUUUUCUUUAAAUGUUGGUCUCUGUAUGAUAUUCUCCUGGCUGGCUAAUGGGACGGUCAUCUUUCGAACCAAGGUAAAAGGCAAUUAAGUUUCAUCAGAUUCAGACUUACGGUCAGUGCUGAAACCAAUGUCCGAACACCCCACUUAAGAUAAAUUCCUUUAGAGCCCUUUGGUUUGUAAGAAUAGAUUUCCUAUUCCUAUGUAGGAUUGGUUCCUAUCCUUCACAUUUCAAAGGAAAACAAACAUUAGCUUGGACCUAAUGUAAAAAUUCCUAUCCUAUGAACCAAAUGACAUCUCAUUUGCUAUAGGAACUGAGAUACAUGUCAUCCCAUUUCCUAUGACUUUCCUAUUCCCAUGAUACUUCUAUCAUAUGAACCAAAGGAGGCCUAACUAACCGCAUAUAGUUUCAUGUAUCAACCAGUUCAAUGCUCAAGUUGUUAACAAAAACUGCUGUUCAUGCUACAACAUAUUUUAAGUAUUCUAUUUCUCAGAGUAGAACCAUCACCAAUAAGCCUGUCGAAUCAUUUUUCUUCCAAUAUUUUUAAUUAUUACACAAACAUUCAGUUGCCAGUACAUAACUACAAAACAUCCUGGAAUAAACUGAAGUUCCCAUAACAUUUAAUGUCCGGUCAGGUGAAUUUUAUGGCACUAAAACUGACAAUCCUCAAUUAUUUGGAAAGUAAAAUGGAAGGCAAAAAACAGGAACACAAGAAUAGCACCAACAGAGAUUUCAGAACAUACAUUAGCUCAUGAGUUGGUUGCGCUGUCAAGCCGAAGACACGGUAUUUCCGUCUUAAACUUCCCCGGUGAGUGAUUUCGACCUUCAAAUCGUGUAGAGCUUUCUUUAUCUGCUUGACAUCAAACACAACCAUAUAAACUAAUCAGGCAUCAGCCAUGAAGUAUUGAAAAAACACCAGUUCACAACCGAACAAGUACGAAUUUCACAUGGUCUUGCCUAUGUAAUGUAAGUAGUAGUGUAUCACUAGUCUGGAUAUAGCACAUAAGCGCAAGUGUGCAACACAAUUUACCCUGACUCGGUUCGCGUCCGACAACGGCCUUGACAUGACAUCCUUCCCCAGGAUCUGCGCCGCAAAAUCGAUCACCGGCAGCGGCUCGACAAAUGCCGUGGACGACAUGUCUGAAAUCGGCACCCAGGUGUAAGCUCAGGACACACAAGGAAGCAAUCACAUUGAUCAUCAAGAGACAGGUAGCGUUGGGACAACGAAAGCAUAUAGUAUCUCACCGAUGUUGAGUGACAAUCCCAUUUGGGUCGGCCGGAUGCUCUGGUAGAAGCCGAACCACGACUGCAAGCCAUCGCCGAGCCUCUGCGGCGUCCUAAUGUCCGGCGAGUAGAACGACCGCCUUACGGAGAGGUACCUCUGGCUAGCGACUUCCCGCAGCACGACGUCGAGGACCUGUAGGCCCCCCUGCGGCUCAUCGGGUUGCCGCCCCGCCAUGAACUCCCGGAGGUGGCGCAGGUCGGCGCCGGCAGCGAAUUUGAUGGCCACCUUGUACUCCUUCUCCCUGCAGGUACAGGUAGAGGCAAACGAAAUCAAUUAGUCGUCCACAGAGACGGGGCGCGUUAGGGCGUACUGUGAUUGCGUACGGAUCGGCCGAUUGUGUGUACCGGACGGUGGCGCUGGAGACGCCGUCGUCGUCGACGGCGAGGCGUAUGACGAACUCUCGGGCGUCGAAGGGGAGGCGGCCGGCGGUGUAGAGGUUGCUGCGGCCGUCGUAGGCCGGGAGGCGCAUGCCGAGGUCGGACGCGCGGUAGAGGCGAACCAGCUCGGCCACGAUGGCCCGGCUCACGCUCCGCGACCUCACCUCCGGCGUGAUCUUGACCUGCAGGACAUCGAAAACACCACGCCGUGGUGGGUGUCACCGUCAUGGUCACCACGGUUGCCCAUGCACGGCCACGUUGUGUUCGGCGAGAGGCUACGAGUGGCGAGCGACUUACGUCGUACUGGGUGAGGUCCUUGUCGGCGACCUCCGCGAGGAAAUGGUUGGCCUUCACCACGCAGCGCGUGCCCGCCUUCCCGAACCCCGGACGGCGGCAGAGCUCGAGCCCCUUGCUCGACACCGGCGGCGGCUCCGCUGGCGCGACGGCGACAACGCCAGUGCACGCGGCAGGCACCACCGCCUCCUCCUUGCUCCGCGCCCGCGCGCCGUUGCGCCGCGGGCCGCUCGCACCGGAAUUGCACUUCUUGCAUCCCGCCCCCGGCGACCGCGUGGCCGCCUUGGGGUGCGCCAAGCUGCUUUGCAGCGCCUGUCUCCGCGGCGGCCCCGGGCACCCGCCAGCCGCCUUACCACCGACCACCGUCCACGGCACCUCCAAAACCUCGAGCAUCCCGCCGGACGUGGCCGCCGGGAGCCGCACUCACGCAACAAGACAAAGCAGGCGGCACGCGAUCAAGAAUCCAGGCAGGAAGCUCGAUCCGCCGUCCAGCGGGAAGUACCAGCGGGCAGAGAUAGUAGAAGAAGAAAGCCAAGAUUUAGCUAGCAUGCGUCAAUGCGGACACGACGGCACGAGCGCGGCCCGAUCACCACCGGGACAGGGAGCGAGGCAUUCGAGCUCCGCGCGCCAUAAAAGGGAGAGGUCGGCAUUGACGCGACAGCCGCAGCGCGCACGAAAAAGGGUUCGCGGCGACGACGCCCUCCGGCAUUAAAAUCCUUCCUUGUUCCAGUACCCAAGCGAUAACUCCACCUGAGCAACGGCGUUUUUACCAAACGGAGUAGGCGUCAGCGGGGCUAGGGCGGCACUGUAAAAGGUCACGAACAGUGGCGCAGUGGGUGGGCUACAGAAAGGCGGGAGUAUUUUUAUGGAACGGAAGCGGGUGGCGGAGAGGAGGGGGGAGGAAGCCUCGGCGAUCUCACCGAAGAAGGAAUUAAUAUGGCGACCUGUGCCAGCGUGGUGGCCGUGGCGUCGAAAGCAGCGCCGGCCUCAGGUUGGGGUGUGUGCACGCUGUUUUCAAAGACGCACUUGUGUCAUGCGAUGCAUCGAUCUUACGGCCCCUUUCACCACGAAAAUUCAAGUCGUUCCCCGAGCUCAUCUACAUCCGGUUGUAGCAAAAAGAACACCUUGAACUUUUUGUGGUUUAUAAGAUGCUCAAAUGCGUGAUAUUGUGUAAAUUUUCAGCUUGUUUGAACAUUCGAGAAGCUUGUGGCAAAAAAGACAAAACCUGAUAUAAACAGUGUUGCUUUCAAAAAUUUCUCACCCUCGGAAUUUGUUUUUUCGCCACAAGCUCCUCAAAUGUUUAAACAAGCUGAAAUUUUGCAUGAACCUCAUACAUUUGAACAUCUUACACAAAAAAUAUUUUUUUUAUUUUGCUGCUAUUUUUAAAAUUUACUGUUCACACUCGGGGUGUAGAUAACCAUCCAGACCUGCCCAUAUGCAGAAUAGCUAUUUCCCGUUUAGAUUUCUCUCCCAAAAUAUCAUCGGAGCAUGUACAACCGGGCGUCCUAUAUUGGCGUCAACCAUCCAGACCUGCCCAGACACUCUUUGACAAAAAAGAACACUCAACCAAUCAUCCCAAAAUGCAGCCCAACAUCCGGAAUAACAGGCAGCCCCAUAUUCAGCCUAAUAUGUGGGGUGGAUUUGGGACGCAUGGACGUGUCCAUCACGUCGGAUCCAACUCAUUAUGACCCACACCGAUCCCACAUACAUUCAUCCCUAUCCGCUCUCCAUACCAAACGUAGACACUUCACUUCCCUCUGUCCUCAAGCUCUUCUCUGACGAACUCCGGCCUUCUCCCGCAUGACAGGCAGUGAUCUGCCCCGGAGAACUCCUGGUCCAUUGGUCGAGACCUUGUCCCGUGUAGAGAUAAGAGGAGAGGGUCGUAUGCAUGGCUCUCCACCGCUCCCAAGAGGAGUGCGCCCGACCGCGAUAGAACUUGAUACGAAGGGAAUCCAUUGUGUCCGGUCAAAUGUCGCUUGGAUCCGUCAGAGCUAGUAGCGUGAGGCGCGUGACGCCGUAACCAAGAUGUGGUGGCUCAAUCCCUUCGGUGCUACUGAGUCCCCAUGGCGUCGGGCUCCCAGUCGGAGGUCUACACUGGCAUGCCUCAUGGCCCGUCCGUCGUGGACGCGCCGCGUGCCUGUGUGCGAGGAACAUCGUGCGGGAGGGCGGGGAGGCAGAGUCGCACGACACCGGUUAGGCCGCCACUUCGGUCUGUCCACGUCAAUUGUAGACCUUGCCUCGAUCGGUGAUGUCCAGGCCGUGGGCUCCAAGGAAGAAGAGUAGGACAUGGGUGUGAUGCCCCUGCCUCGACCGUGCACUAAUCAUAUAAGCAAGCAUGCAUGAUCAAGGCCAGAGACUCACGGGGAGAUAUGACAACACAACUCUAGACACAAAGACAAUAUAAAGUUCUAUAUUACAAGCGAAGGUCACGAGGACCAAAUACAUAAGUCAGCGAAACGAUAAUAUCUGAGUACAUACAUAAAUAGACAGGUUUGCCUUAAGAAGGCCGAGCAAAACAACGACAACUAGAUCGAAAAGGUGCAGGCCUCCUGCCUGGGGCCUCCUAUCUACUCCUGGUCGUCAGUCUCCACGUAGUAGUAGGCUCCCUUGGUAUAAUAGUAGUCAUCGGCGGGAUCAGUUGGCUCCUGGGCUCCAUCAUCUAAUCGCAGCAAUCAGGUAAAAGGGGGAAAAUAUAGCAAAGCAACCGUGAGUACUCAUCCAAAGUACUCGCAAGACUUACAUCAGAUCUAUGUUAAGUAUGCAUCAGUAUCAAAGGGAAUGGGCUAUAUCUGUGGACUAUACUACAGAAUUGCCAGAAUAGAGGGGAAGACCUAGCCUAACGAAGACUAGCAUCUUGCAGCAACAGAAGACAGUAGAGUAACUUAACAUAUAGUAACAAGUAUAUAUUAGCCAUGCCCAGAGAUCCUUCCUCGUACACCCCAUGAGAAAGCGACCCCGGAGUCAUCAUACCGGUUUAGUAUCACCAAUAUCCACUUUUAGUUGUAAUAGACCGGAAUACAACUCCGAGCGUCUGUUACCGUGGCCACGGCUAUUCGAAUAAAUAAUUUUCCCCGCAUGGGUGCACCAACUUACCCAACACGCUUGAUUAACUUCGGUUGGACACACUUUUCGGGUCAUAUCCGGCCUCGGCUGAUCGACACGCCGUAGUCCCACUUAGGCUCAACAAAGAGGUCAGCACGCCAACUACAUCCUAAGUGCGAAGGGGUCAUGGGCCAAUCAUUCUAAUCACUCCUGAGCGUUGCGCAACUGGCAGGGGACUAGACCCACCUCCUUAUACAAGCGCACGCGGUUACCGUCCACCCCAGCAAUCAGCCCACAUCUCUGAAUUGUGACAUCUAAAGAGCUUUCGGAAGAAUCAUACGACGCCGAGUGCCCAUAACUUAUCCCGCGUGGUGGUUAGUGCGAAAAGGCCAGGGGCCUACUCAGAUCAUACAUCCAAACCCGUUAGUGUGUUGGGAGCUCGCGGUAAUGAUUAAUGCACCUAUCACCCCGUCUCGCGGUCUUACGACAAGGGCCAGGUCCAUCCCUCUCUAGGGCAGUCUGAAGGAAAUAUGCCCUAGAGGCAAUAAUAAAUUGUUAUUUAUAUUUCCUUAUAUCAUGAUAAAUGUUUAUUAUUCAUGCUAGAAUUGUAUUAACCGGAAACUUAGUACAUGUGUGAAUACAUAGACAAACAAAGUGUCCCUAGUAUGCCUCUACUUGACUAGCUCGUUAAUCAAAGAUGGUUAAGUUUCCUAGCCAUAGGCAUGUGUUGUAAUUUGAUGAACGGGAUCACAUCAUUAGAGAAUGAUGUGAUGGACAAGACCCAUCCGUUAGCUUAGCACUAUGAUCGUUUAGUUUAUUGCUAUUGCUUUCUUCAUGACUUAUACAUGUUCCUAUGACUAUGAGAUUAUGCAACUCCCGAAUACUGGAAGAACACUUAGUGUGCUAUCAAACAUCACAACGUAACUGGGUGAUUAUAAAUAUGCUCUACACGUGUCUCCGAUGGUGUUUUUUGAGUUGGCAUAGAUUGAGAUUAGGAUUUGUCACUUCGAUUGUCGGAGAGGUAUCUCUGGGUCCUCUCGGUAAUGCACAUCACUAUAAGCCUUGCAAGCAAAGUGGCUAAUGAGUUAGUUGUGGGAUGAUGCAUUACGGAACGAGCAAAGAGACUUGCUGGCAACGAGAUUGAACUAGGUAUGAUGAUACCCAUGAUCGAAUCUCGGGCAAGUAACAUACCGAUGACAAAGGGAACAACGUAUGUUUUUAUGCGGUUUGACUGAUAAAGAUCUUCGUAGAAUAUGUAGGAGCCAAUAUGAGCAUCCAGGUUCCGCUAUUGGUUAUUGACCGGAGAUAUGUCUCGGUCAUGUCUACAUAGUUCUCGAACCCAUAGGGUCCGCACGCUUAACGUUUGAUGACGAUUUGUAUUAUGAAUUAUGUGAUUUGAUGACCGAAGUUUGUUCGGAGUCCCGGAUGAGAUCACGGACAUGACUAGGAGUCUCAAAAUGGUCGAGACAUAAAGAUCGAUAUAUUGGAAGGCUAUAUUCGGACAUUGGAAAGUUUCUGAGUGGUUCUGGUAUUUUUCGGAGUACCGGAGAGUUACGGGAAUUCGCCGGGGGAAGUAUUGGGCCUUCAUGGGCCUUAGUGGAAAGGAGAGAGCGGCCACAAGGGGAGGCCGCACUCCCCCAUGGGCUGGUCCGAAUUGGACUAGGGAGGGAGCGGCGCCCCCCUCUUUCCUUCUCCCUCUCCUCUCCUUCCUUCUUUUCCUACUUGGACUAGGAAAGGGGGAAACCUACUCCUACUAGGAGUAGGAAUCCCCCCCUUGGGCGCGCCCCUUGAGUCCGGCCCUCCUCCUCCUCCCCUCCUUUAUAAACGGGGGAGGGGGGCAUCCCAUAGACACACAAGUUGAUUUUUUAGCCAUGUGCGGUGCCCCCCUCCACAGUUUUCCACCUCGGUCAUAUUGCCGUAGUGCUUAGGCGAAGCCCUGCGUCGGUAACUUCACCAUCACCGUCACCACGUCGUCGUGUUGAUGAAACUCUCCCUCGGCCUCAGCUGGAUCUAGAGUUCGAGGGACGUCACCGAGCUGAACAUGUGCAGAUCGCGGAGGUGCCGUGCGUUCGGUACUUGAUCGGUUGGAUCGCGAAGACGUUCGACUACAUCAACCGCGUUACUUAAUGGUUCCACUUUCGGUCUACGAGGGUACGUAGACACACUCUCCCCUCUCGUUGCUAUGCAUCUCCUAGAUAGAUCUUGCGUGAUCGUAGGAAUCUUUUUGAAAUACUACGUUCCCCAACAGUGGCAUCCGAGCCAGGUCUAUGUGUAGAUGUUAUAUGCACGAGUAGAACACAAAGGAGUUGUGGGCAUGGGUAUAUACAUAUUGCUUGCCAUCACUAGUUGUUUCUUGAUUCGGUGGUAUUGUUGGAUGAAGCGGUCCGGACCGACAUUACAUGACCGCGUUCAUGAGACUGGUUCUACCAACAUGCUUUGCACACAGGUGGCUGGCGGGUGUCAGUUUCUCCAACUUUACUUGAAUCGGAUUCAAUGAACAGGGUUCUUUCUGAAGAUCAAAAAGCAAUCACUAUACCGCGUUCUGGUUUUUCAUGCGUAGGUAAGAACGGCUCUUACUAAGCCCAUAGCAGCCAUGUAAAACUUGCAACAACAAAGUAGAGGAUGUCUAACUUUUUUUUGCAGGUCAUGUUGUGAUGUGAUAUGGUCAAGACGUGAGUAUAUAAAUUAUUGUAUGAGAUGAUCAUGUUUUGUAACACAGUUAUCGGCAACUGGCAGGAGCCAUAUGGUUGUCUCUUUAUUGUAUGAAAUGAAAUCGCCAUGUAAUUGUUUUACUUUAUCACUAAGCGGUAGCGAUAGUCGUAGAAGCAAUAGUUGGCGAGACGACAAUGAUGCUACAAUGGAGAUGAAGGUGUCAAGCCGGUGACGAUGGUGAUCAUGACGGUGCUUUGGAGAUGGAGAUCAAAGGCACAAGAUGAUGAUGGCCAUAUCAUAUCACUUAUAUUGAUUGCAUGUGAUGUUUAUCCUUUAUGCAUCUUAUUUUGCUUAGUACGACGGUAGCAUUAUAAGAUGAUCUCUCACUAAAUUUCAAGGUAUAAGUGUUCUCUCUGAGUAUGCACCGUUGCUACAGUUCGUCGUGCCGAGACACCACGUGAUGAUCGGGUGUGAUAAGCUCUACAUUCACAUACAAUGGGUGCAAGCCAGUUUUGCACAAGCAGAAUACUUAGGUUAAACUUGACGAGCCUAGCAUAUGCAGAUAUGGCCUCGGAACACUGAGACCGAAAGGUCAAGCGUGAAUCAUAUAGUAGAUAUGAUCAACAUAGUGAUGUUCACCAUUGAAAACUACUCCAUCUCACGUGAUGAUUGGACAUGGUUUAGUCGAUAUGGAUCACGUGAUCACUUAGAUGAUUAGAGGGAUGUUUAUCUAAGUGGGAGUUCUUAAGUAAUAUGAUUAAUUGAAGUUCCAUUUAUCAUGAACUUAGUACCUGAUAGUAUUUUGCAUGUCUACGUUAUUAUAGAUAAAUGGCCCGUGAUGUUGUUCCGUUGAAUUUUAAUGCGUUCCUAGAGAAAGCUAAGUUGAAAGAUGAUGGUAGAAACUACACGGACUGGGUCUGUAACUUGAGGAUUAUCCUCAUUGCUGCAUAGAAGAAUUACGUCCUGGAAGCACCGCUAGGUGCUAGGCCUGCUGUAGAUGCUACUGAUGACGUUAGGAACAUAUGGCAGAGCAAAGUUGAUGACUACUCGAUAGUUCAGUGUGCCAUGCUUCACGGAUUAGAACCGGGACUUCAACGAUGUUUUGAACGUCAUGGAGCAUAUGAGAUGUUCCAGGAAUUGAAGUUAAUAUUUCAAUCAAAUGCCCGAAUUGAGAGAUAUGAAGUCUCCAAUAAGUUCUAUAGCUGCAAGAUGGAGGAGAAUAGUUCUGUCAAUGAACAUAUACUCAGAAUGUCAGGGUACCACUAUCACUUGACUCAGCUGGGAGUUAAUCUUCCGGUUGAUAGUGUCAUUGACAGAGUUCUUCAAUCACUACCACCAAGCUACAAAAGCUUUGUGAUCAACUAUAAUAUGCAAGGGAUGGAUAAGACAAUUCUUGAGCUCUUCAUGAUGCUAAAGGCUGCGGAGAUAGAAAUCAAGAAGGUGCAUCAAGUGUUGAUGGUCAACGAGACCACCAGUUUCAGGAAGAAGGGCAAAGGGAAGAAGGGCAACUUCAAGAAGAACGGCAAGCAAGUUGCCGCUCAAGUGAAGAAGCCCAAGUAUGGACCUAAGCCUGCGACUGAGUGUUUCUACUGCAAAGGGACUGGUCACUGGAAGCGGAACUGCCCCAAGUAUUUGGCGGAUAAAAAGGAUGGCAAAGUGAAAGGUAUAUUUAAUAUACAUGUUAUUGAUGUGUACCUUACUAAUGCUCGCAGUAGCGCAUGGGUAUUUGAUACUGGUUCGGUUGCUAAUAUUUGCAACUCGAAACAGGGGCUAUGGAUUAAGCGAAGAUUGGCUAAGGACAAGGUGACGAUGCUCGUGGGAAAUGGUUCCAAAGUCGAUGUGAUCGCCGUCGGCACGCUACCUCUACAUCUACCUUCAGGGUUAGUUUUGGACCUGAAUAAUUGUUAUUUGGUGCCAGCGUUAAGCAUGAACAUUAUAUCUGGAUCUUGUUUGAUGCGAGACGGUUAUUCAUUUAAAUCAGAGAAUAAUGGUUGUUGUAUUUAUAUGAGUAAUAUCUUUUAUGGUCAUGCACCCUUGAUGAGUGGUCUAUUUUUUACUAAAUCUUGAUAGUAGUGAUACACAUAUUCAUAGUAUUGAACUCAAAAGAUAUAAGUUUAAUAAUGAUAGUGCAACUUAUUUGUGGCACUACCGUUUACGUCAUAUUGGUGUAAAGCGCAUGAAGAAACUCCAUGUUGAUGGGCUUUUGGAAUCACUUGAUUAUGAAUCACUUGAUGCUUGCGAACCAUGCCUCAUGUGCAAGAUGAUUAAGACUCCGUUCUCUGGAACAAUGGAACGAGCAACAGACUUAUUGGAAAUAAUACAUACUGAUGUAUGUUGUCCAAUGAGUGUUGAUGCUCGUGGCGAGUAUCGUUAUUUUCUGACCUUCACAGAUGAUUUGAGAAGAUAUGGGUAUGUCUACUUGAUGAAACAUAAGUCUGAAACAUUUGAAAAGUUCAAAGAAUUCCAGAGUGAACUGGAAACUCGUCGUAACAAGAAAAUUAAGUUUCUACGAUCUGAUCGUGGAGGUGAAUAUUUGAGUUAUGAGUUUGGUCUUCAUUUGAAACAAUGCAGAAUAGUUUCACAACUCACGCCACCUAGAACACCACAGCGUAAUGGUGUGUCCGAAUGUCGUAACCGCACUUUAUUAGAUAUGGUGCGAUCUAUAAUGUCUCUUACUUAUUUACCGCUAUCGUUUUGGGGUUAUGCUUUAGAGAUGGCCACAUUCACGUUAAAUAGGGCACCAUCGAAAUCCAUUGAGACGACACCAUAUGAACUGUGGUUUGGCAAGAAACCCAAGUUGUCGUUUCUUAAAGUUUGGGGUUGCGAUGCUUAUGUGAAAAAGCUUCAACCUUAUAAGCUCGAACCCAAAUCAGAGAAAUGUGUCUUCAUAGGAUACCCAAAGGAGACUGUUGGGUACACCUUCUAUCAUAGAUCCAUAGGCAAGAUAUUCGUUGCUAAGAAUUGAUCCUUUUUAGAGAAGAAGUUUCUCUCGAAAGAAGUGAGUGGGAGGAAAGUAGAACUUGUUGAGGUAAUUGUACCUGCUCCCUUAUGGGAAAGUAGUUCAUCACAGAAAUCAGUUCCAGUGAUUCCUAUAGCAAUUAGUGAGGAUGCUAAUGAUGAUGAUCAUGAAACUUCCGAUCAAGUUACUACUGAACCUCGUAGGUCAACCAGAAUAAGAUCCGCACCAGAGUGGUACGGUAAUCCUGUUCUGAAAGUCAUGUUACUUGACCAUGACGAACCUACGAACUAUGAGGAAGCGAUGAUGAGCCCAGAUUCCGCAAAAUGGCUUGAGGCCAUGAAAUCUGAGAUGGGAUACAUGUAUGAGAACAAAGUGUGGACUUUGGUUGACUUGCCCAAUGAUCGGUAAGCCAUAAAGAAUAAAUGGAUAGUUCGGGUAUAAGCUUCUCACAAACGAGAGCUUCUCACAACAAGCAUGAUGGUUUCGACAGGGAACGUCCCACCUUUGGGGACGAAACAAUAUCCAUUGCCUCUUAUUGCUUUCAAAAAAUUUCUAGUGUCAACAUAGAACAACAGGAGUGUUGUGUCAAUUUUUGUGAUUUUUGGGGUUCGUUUGGACAUUUUUAUGCAUUAACUAGGUUUUCUAGGCAUUUUAUGUGCAUAAUUCAAAUUUGAACUACAAGCACAUGCUCCAAUGCACUAAGGUUGGUUGAAAAAAAUCUAUUACGUGUCCUUGGGUGAAUUUCUAGGUCACAUGCAAGAGAUGGGAAUGAAAUUCAAACACCAUGGCACUGUUGAUUGCCGACAAAACAUUGAGAUGGUUGGUUUUAAAAUUCUAAUAAAUCCAAAACUUGUCUGAAAUUCCUGAAACUUGGCAUGCUACGAUGGAGUGGCAUCAACAUGCCGUGUUAAAACAUUUGUCCAAUUUGGGGAAGGUUCGGGUAUAUGCUUCUCACAACAAGCAUGAUGGUUUCGGUAGGGAACGUCCCACCUUUGGGGACGAAACGAUAUUCAUUGCCUCUUAUUGCUUUCAAAAAAAAUCUCGUUUCAAUAUAGAACAACAAGAGUGUUGUGUCAAUUUUUUAGAUUUUCCGGGGUUCGUUUGGACAUUUUUAUGCAUUAACUGAGUUUUUAAUGCUUUUAUGUGCACAAUUCAAAUUUAAACUACAUGCACAUGCUCCAGUGCAUAUAAAUUGGUUGAAAAAUCAAAUCUAUGUCCUUGGGUGCAUGCUUAGGUCCCAUGCAAGAAAUAGGAAUGAAUUUCAAACACCAGGGCACCGCUGAUUGCCAGCAAAACAUUGAGAUGCCCCAUUUUUAAAUUCUAGUAAAUCCAAAACUCGUCUGAAAUUCAUGAAACUUGGCAUGCUAUCAUGGAAUGGCACUCGACAUGAUGUGGUAUUUUUCGUGUCCAUUUUGAGAGAAGACGCACUCGAAUAAUGACAGCCAACAAAGGCAUUUUGAAAAAAAUAGCCGCCACUUUAAUAUCCCAAAUGUUUGUAUAAUUCAAACCGUGUGCAUUCUGUUAACCAUUCAUGCGACGCCACAUGUCUUGGUUUUAAUGGCUAUAGGAGGUGCCGUGCGGACAACUACUUGACCUUGACUGAAGAGGAGGCGUGCGAGCGCAGUCCGGGGCGCAGGCUGACCGAGAGGGGUGCAAGCUGUCCUCCAAUGCACAUGCUCAUCAGGAAGCGUGCAAGCUGUACGCUGCGCAGGCUCGCUAGGAAGCGAGCCCUUUGACUUCCAUGGAUGCCCGCCUUCCUAUCCAUGAAUGGCGCCCGAGCCACUGUUUAAUACAGGCGGCCUUACUGUUCGCCUCCCAUUCCCCUUCCCCUUGCAGACCUCCACCACCAUGGCGCAGAAUGAUCAUCUGCCACUAGUCUUCAAGUUUGGUGAAGUCGACUCCGAUCCGGAGGAGAUAGAAAAUAAGGAGUAAUGGGGCCUCAUGGACAUGGCCCAGAACGAGCUGGCCGCGACGGUUGCUGCCCCCGCUCCCGUCCCAACGCCCGUGCCAGCGACCAUCUCCGUAGCAUUGACGGGCUGGUCGCCGAGCACUAUCACAGAGCUGGAAGCCGCGGGCGACAGCGAGGUCUCCGCGGACCCGCAUGAACUUGUGUACAAGCCAGCGCCAGCGCCCGUCCCCGUGCGUUUGGCUGCACCCGCCGCGCCCGUGCGCCCCCCCCCCCCAGCGGCAUGGGACGCUGCCGUCAACCGCUAUUCUCAGCGGCGCAAGUUGCCGUCCUCCCGCGCCCCGCCCGUCGACCGCACGACGACAUGAUGUUUGAUUUACAAGUGAAGAACAUUUUCUGCUGCCUUGAAGACUUCAACAACGGCAUCCUGGAGGACGACAACGACGGCGCGGCACGCCGCCUCCGCCGGAAAUAGUUUUUUUGGUCUCGAAUUCUUGAUCAUAUGAAUAUAAAUUCGCAGUGUGACUGAAUGAAAGAUAUGGUUUGAAUGAACUUGCGUUUUUCUCUCUUAAUGUACAGACUUAUCAAAUGAUUUUCUUUUGAAAAAAUGUCAAUGUUAGUUAAAUAUAAAACACCCAUCGCAAACGUUUUAGUUAGAACACCCGUAUGCAAACCGACAGCUUCCCCAGGAAGCCAAGGGAAAAUGUGUCGAACAGGAUUUCUGCAUCCCCUUCAAUGCAAAUGGUUGUUUUGCAUGACCCAUGUGCAACCACGUACAAACAAUUGUGUAAGAUUUGCAUAUCUGUCAUUUUGGGUAUGUUGCCAUUUCUCAAACUGGAAUGAUUGAAAUUUUCUUAUCUAGUAACAUUGCCAUUUGUCAACCUUGUAACACUGCGAUUUGUCAAAAUAUGCAGCUACAAAUCACUAGCACUAUCUAAUUUUUGCAACUAAAAUCACUAGCACUGUUCAUAUGGACACCACCAGCAGGCGUGAGUUCAUGGACGCAUAUGCAAAUGUACCAUUGAUUACAUACAACAAGUCAUCAACCCACAACGACAACGAGGAUACACAUUGUAUUAUAGAUCAUUUCCAACAAAACAUUCUAGUAAAAAAAUUCUCACACAACAAAUAACAAAGCGAUGAAAUGAACUUCAGCUCAACCACUCGUCGGUGUUGGAAACGCUUGCUUUGAACCAGAAGUGAUUCUCUGGGAAGGGCCAGCUACUGUCAAUCUCGAGACCAGUGCACGACUGAUCAUCGAGGCUAAAGCGACCUAUGUCAGGACCCAUAUUGGGAUGGUAGGGAAGCAUAGUAAUGUCCGAGGUAUAGAUAUAGUUGCUUCUCAUAAAUGGUAGUAACGUUGCGUCAACAACAGCUAGAUCGCCUUCCACCAUCAUUGGAUAGUUUUGUCCAAGGAAGAGCGAGUUUCCUCUAAGACUUUCAAUACUGAACCAGGGAGAAGGUGUUGGCGCUAGUACACUAGUAUCCACCCCGAAUACCCUGCAACGGAUGCUGGAAUAGGUCCGGAGAGUGCGACCAUACGAGACAACACCUGCUUCCUUAGUAACAUCAGCACUGCCCUACAUACAGACAAGAAGAGGUGAUCCAUCGGAAUAAGUUCCCAGGCACCACUGAGUAUAUGGGUCCUGCUCGUUCUCAUGCUCGUGAAUAAAAAUUUCAAGUAUAGGUGGUGGAAUGUUCACAUGACCUUGGAAACACAAGAAGGUUAAUUAGUAAAGGGAAACUAGCUAACCGCCAUGCAUGUGGAUGAAACAAUUAUAAUUAUGGUGGAAGACAAACGUAUCGAAAUCAUAAGGAUUCCAUGCAAAAACAGUGCCACGAGUGGCGGCAGCAAGCACAAGACCCUCGUAUUGAAAUGCAUCACAAUACUCAUCCGUGUAUAGAAACUGAUCUUUGAGCAAUAUCCAUCGAGUCGAACCAUGAAGGACGACAACAAGCUUGUCGAAGAUAGCGACAACACAAGCAUUCCUAUAACCCCAAGAGCGGUUGGGAACUUAAAAAAUUGCUAUCUUUCGUAGACGACAGUCAGCAUGAUCGUAUUUGAACUCACGUAGAAUACCGGUGUACUCAACCUCUGGGCAGUCGUCUAAAUUUUUUUGAAGUGGAACCCGAUGACGAGUGUACACAUUCACAAGUUCCCACUCGCAGUUGUACCCAAUAUAAACAACUCAAUCUCCAUUUUCGCCUGCCCAAGCCUUGCCCUCAAGCAAUGGCAUCUUAAAAUCAUACGUAUCAUUAUCAAGCGACAUCAACUUACACAAGGUGAGGCUUCCCUCGUCCCCGCGCCAGUCAGCAGGGUCACGACGAAGAAGAUAAGGGAGAUCAAACCACUCCUGGACCCUUGGAUUCCUUGUAAUGAUGUUAUUAUUUGAGCCGAGAAUGGUCUUGAACGAACCUGCCAUGCUAGCCGAGGUGAUGACGUCGCACCGAUCAAUGAGUUCCUCCACCGCGUCAUCAUUCAGAUCGGGGCAAGAAUAAUGGGGUUGUUUCCGGCUUAAUCCCUCAUGGAGAAGAUGAUCAAACAUUGGCAGAAGGAAGGGUGAAGGAAAAUGGAGGAGGGAGGAAGAGCUAGCAUGCGACAGUAGUUCCAAAUCGAGAGGGAAAGGCGAAGACUCGAUGGACGGUUGCCACGAUACACAAAGAGGCGCCUGGGGAGCGAACGGUUGCCACAAAGGUCACACACUGACGACAUGGGCUGAGUGAACCGCAUGCAAUCCCAUUGCACAACACACACGUCUUGUUAAGUUGAACCGUUUUUGUUCUCUUGUGUCAUCGCAAACAGUUCAUCCGAGUGAACCGCAUGCCGUAUAUCGCACACACCUUGAUCUGGCUGACCAUUUCUUUUGUGUUGCCUAAUCACAAACAAUUCAUCCGAGUGAACCAUAUGCUUUAUAUCCCAUACACCUUCAUCUGGUUGCCCGUUUCUUUUGUGUUUCCUAAUCACAAACAGUUCAUCCGAGUGAACUGUAUGUUGUGUAUCGCACACGCCUUCAUUUGGCUGCCCAUUUCUUUUGUUCCUCCUCAUCGCAAACAGUUAAUUAAACUGAACCAUAUGCCCUUCAUCACACACGCAACUAAAAUCUGAACCGUGUUUGAUGCAUCCGUCAUCGCAAACGUUUUACACAUUUUGGACGGUUUUCAUACACCACCAUUUGCGAUUAUUGCAUCGCACACAGUUUCUUGAAGGGUCUCUGAUCGUAGUGUCGCGUUAGCAGCAUCCUGCAGUAGUGUAUCAUCAUAGUCAUUACCACCAAUACUAUUUAAUCAUCACAGUCAUAGUGUAGCUAUCUAAUCACCACCAACACUGGCUAAUAAUAAUCAUCAUAGUCAUUACCACCAACACUAGCUAUUUAAUCAUCAUAGUCAUAGUGUAGCACAUUAUCAUCUUCAAACUCAUUCUAGCUAGCUAAUCACUCCGGCUGCUCUCUCUUAGGUAAAAUAGCAUAGAACAUGUGUAGCACUCCUGCUUCAUCAUAUUGGAGAAUGCAGAUGAACCUGUCUCCUAAUUGUGGGUUGCGCUUCUAAUUGCUGCCCCCUAGCACUUCUCUGCUGUGGUCCUUCACAAUUUUGCCCCAGUCUUUGACUAUUAAGACUUGCUCGCUUCGAGAAAUCUUGAAUGCACUCAUGUGCAAUGUAGGAUGUCUUAGCCGUAAGCUAACCAUUGUCAUGCGACUUUUAGGCUCGAUCCAAUGAGGCACAACAUUCAUCGGGAGCCCCUGUUGAAGAACAUCAUAGUAACAUACUUAGCAAUGAAGUUUAGCUUAAAAAAUAAUGUAUGCAAAAGAUGCACUAAGGACAAAUAGUAAAAAUCUUACCAACUUUCCUAAAUAGAUGUGACCAUAGUUCAAUACACUAGUGGUCGCACGUUUUGAGUACUAAUAUUUCGAAGUCUAGGAAAAUAACCUGUCUUGACAAUAUCAAGAUCUUCAAGCCAUGAAACAUAAUGACUUAUCUCCUCGCAGUUUAGUUCAACCCCGGGACAGAAGUAGGUGCUGUCUACCAAGCGUCGGACAUGUUUACUUGAAUGGAAAUAAGUUGCCAAUAGAAAUUAGUUGUCAACUAUUUUUAAAUAGACAAUAUCCAAGACAUAAAUAUGGUUGAGAAACUCACAUAAUGGUAGAACUGGAGGCGUCUGCACAUCGACCCAGAUGUCGAUAUUACCUUCAAUUUCAUCUUCUGGAUGAAUAUCAAAGGUGAUAAGCAUAUCAGGCUCAAAUGCAUAAGCCUUGCAUAGUGCUCUCAAUUUUUGCAUUCAAAAUAGGUGUAUGUGUCUGCAUUGUAUAAUUUUACGGCAAAAGUAUAACCAUGCUCGGUCCUUAAGUGAACUCUCUUUACCUCCAUACUUCCAUAGUAUUGAAGCCAAUCUUAUCCAAGACAUAAAUUCUUGCAUGGCAGGGGAUACACUAGUAGAAUAGUAAAAAUUUAAAAUUAUAAGUUGAAGCGAAAGAAGCAGAAGUAAUGCUUAAUUACGAAAAAAAUCUUGUCAUUGUGACUUACCGUAUCCACUUCGAAGUUCUCAUCCAGCAUGAUGUUGAAGCGCCUACCACCAACUAGGUGAGGCUUGUCGCGCAGGUCGCGCCCGUCUUCACAGUAUUCACACAUACCGAAUUCCUUUUCAUCGUCAGACAUUUCCUAUGUUCAUAGUUGAAACAUUAAUUGAAAAUCGAUCGAAGGAAACUACCAAGAAACUCAACACAAGCACUUGAUAUGCCCUACAUUGUAGCACAAGUCAUGCUAAAAUUCAUGAAAAAAUUCGGCAUGACCUUCGCUAAAGACAUGACAUAUUGAACGCCUAAAAUUUGUCAGGACGGAAACGAAUCAACAUUCCAGCAAAAUAUAGGCCACUCGGAGGCACAUUGCAAACAAGAACACCAAGACAUCCUCUAUAUUCAGAAUGCAUCAUCAUCGACAUCAAUGACAUGGCAAGUACACUAGCAUUUUCAUCAUUGACAUUUACAGCAUGUUAUCAUUUAGCUAUUCUCACCUAGAGGUCUUAAGGGGUCGACUACUGGGAUGAGGCAGGGGCAAAUACUUGAUUUCUGCAUAAACAAAAUAUAUUAACCACUUACUAUAAAUAAACUAAUUCUAUUAAGCACUUACUAUAAAUAAACUAGUUCUAUUAAGCACUUACUAUAAAUAACCUAGUUAGUUAACCUAUAUAAAUAACCUAAUUAAACUAGUUAACCUAGCUAGCCAACCUAGUUAACCUAGCUAGUUUGAAUUUUUACUAAUUUACUAAAAAAUCUACUCUAUGCAAGAAUAGAGUGAGGAGAGAUGAGGGAGGGAGGAGGGAGCAGGGGUGGGGGAGGGAGGAGNNNNNNNNNNNNNNNNNNNNNNNNNNNNNNNNNNNNNNNNNNNNNNNNNNNNNNNNNNNNNNNNNNNNNNNNNNNNNNNNNNNNNNNNNNNNNNNNNNNNNNNNNNNNNNNNNNNNNNNNNNNNNNNNNNNNNNNNNNNNNNNNNNNNNNNNNNNNNNNNNNNNNNNNNNNNNNNNNNNNNNNNNNNNNNNNNNNNNNNNNNNNNNNNNNNNNNNNNNNNNNNNNNNNNNNNNNNNNNNNNNNNNNNNNNNNNNNNNNNNNNNNNNNNNNNNNNNNNNNNNNNNNNNNNNNNNNNNNNNNNNNNNNNNNNNNNNNNNNNNNNNNNNNNNNNNNNNNNNNNNNNNNNNNNNNNNNNNNNNNNNNNNNNNNNNNNNNNNNNNNNNNNNNNNNNNNNNNNNNNNNNNNNNNNNNNNNNNNNNNNNNNNNNNNNNNNNGAGGAGAGAGGAGGAGGGGGAGUAGGGAGGGGUGGGAAGAGGGCUUGGCCGGAGGAGAGGAGGGAGGAGGGCUUGGCCGGAGGACGAGGGAGGAGGGCGGUGGGAGGAGGAGGGAGAGGAGGGAGGAGUGCAUACUGAGGAAGAGGAGGGAGGACAAUGGCGGCAAUGCGGCGGCAGCGGAGGCAGAGUGAGGCAGCGGGAGUGAGGGGGCAAGAAGAAGGUCGGGCGUGGGGGAUAGAACUUGAGAUAAGGCACCCAUAGCAGUAGCGCUGGUAGGUGAAAAGAGCUACUGCUAAGUACAAUAGCAGCAGCGUGCUUUCACAAUACGCGCUACUACUAUACCUAGUCUGGCGGCCACCUCGUACCAACUGUAGCAGUAGUGUCGUUUAGUAGUAAGACCUAAAGCGAGGAGAUAGAAUCGAAAGAAUGAUAGCAAGUUCUUUGAAAGUGGGAAGAAAGCCAAGGAUACAGUGGUGUGUAGGGUCUUUCAAAUCAAUCAGGAAAGUGUGAUCUGAGAAGGAAUACGGCUUUCCCCGCCUUGACAAGUGGAUCUACCAAGAAUAGCUUUUCCAGCCGUUACUUAUUAUAUAAUAGCUCGAUCCAAUCACGCAUGUGAUUGAUUUCUACCCUCUCUUUCGAAAAUCUUCUAUUCGCACAACUGCUACGUGGAUAUCAGUAGCGCGGUUUUUCCUCACGCGCUAGUGCUAAGUAGCAGUAGCGCCUUAUUUUAAAACUCGCUCCUAGUAAGGUUCUAUGUAUAAGGUUUUCCCUAGUAGUGCGUAUCAGCGUCCGCUAGUCGGCUUGGCCCAGCCUGGCCCACUCUUGCCCCACAAAUAUCCCCAUCCGAAAAACCCUAGACAUCGGUCAAUUCGAACUCCACUUCACUCCCUCUCCAUCCACUCCACUUUGGAUCCCCUCCAAUCUGAAUCGAUAGCCGGCGAUGGAAGCAACAGUGGCUCCGGUGUAGAAUCUGAAGGCUCAAGCAUCUAAAGGAAAUAUGCCCUGGAGGCAAUAAUAAAGUUGUUACUUAUAUUUCCUUAUAUCAUAAUAAUUUUUUAUUAUUCAUGCUAGAAUUGUAUUAACCGGAAACUUAGUACAUGUGUGGAUACAUAGACAAACAGAGUGUCCCUAGUAUGCCUCUACUUGACUAGCUCGUUAAUCAAAGAUGGUUAAGUUUCCUAGACAUAGACAUGUGUUGUAAUUUGAUGAACGGGAUCACAUCAUUAGAGAUUGAUGUGAUGGACAAGACCCAUCCGUUAGCUUAGCAUAAUGAUCGUUUAGUUUUUCUGCUAUUGCUUUCUUCAUGACUUAUACAUGUUCCUCAGACUAUGAGAUUAUGCAACUCCCGAAUACCGGAGGAACACCUUGUGUGUUAUCAAAUGUCACAAUGUAACUAGGUGAUUAUAAAGAUGCUCUACAGGUGUCUCCGAUGGUGUUUGUUGAGUUGGCAUAGAUCGAGAUUAGGAUUUGUCACUCCGUGUAUCGGAGAGGUAUCUCUGGGCCCUCUCGGUAAUGCACAUCACUAUGAGCCUUGCAAGCAAAGUGUCUAAUGAGUUAGCCACGGGAUGGUGCAUUACAAAAUGAGUAAAGAGACUUGCCGAUGACGAUAUUGAACUAGGUAUGAUGAUACUGACGAUCGAAUCCGGGAAAGUAACAUACUGAUGACAAAGGGAACAACGUAUGUUGUUGUGCGGUUUGACCGAUAAAGAUCUUCGUAGAAUAUGUAGGAGCCAAUAUGAGCAUCCAGGUUCCGCUAUUAGUUAUUGACCAGAGAUAUGUCUCGGUCAUGUCUACAUAGUUCUCGAACCCGUAGGGUCUGCACGCUUAACGUUCAAUAACGAUUUGUAUUAUGAGUUUUGUGUUUUGAUGAACUGAAGUUUGUUCGGAGUCCUGGAUGAGAUCACGGACAUGAUGAGGAUUCUCAAAAUGGUUGAGACAUAGAUUUAUAUAUUGGAAGGCUAGAUUUAGACACCAGAAUGGUUCGGGUCGUUUCGGAUAAGUUUCGGAGUACCGGGGGUUACCGGAACCCCCCCAGGAGGUUAAUGGGCCACCAUGGGCCUUAGUGGAGAAGAGAGAGGGCCAGCCAAGAGGUGGCGUGCGCCUCCCUCCUUCCUUCUCUCCUCUUCCUCCUUCCCUUCUUCUCCUACUUGGAAUAAGAAAGGGGGGGGGCGAAUCUUACUUGGACCGGGAGUCCAAGUAGGACUCCCCCCAUGGCGCGCCCCCUUGGGCCAGCCACCUCUCCUCCCCCUUUAUAUACAUGGGAGGGAGGCACCCCAAAUACACACCAACUCUUCUCUUAGCCGUGUGCGGUGCCCCCCUCCACAGUUACACACCUCGGUCAUAUCGUCGUAGUGCUUAGGCGAAACCCUGCGCCGGUAACUUCAUCAUCACCGUCAUCACACCGUCGUGCUGAUAGAACUCUCCCUCGUCCUCAACUGGAUCAAGAGAUCAAGGGACGUCAUCAAGCUGAACGUGUGCUGAAUGCGGAGGUGCCGUACGUUCGGUGCUUGGAUCGGUUGGAUCGCGAAGACUUUCGACUACAUCAACCGUGUUAUUAAACGCUUCCGCUUUUGGUCUACGAGGGUACGUGGACACACUCUCCCCUCUCGUUGCUAUGCAUCUCCUAGAGAGAUCUUGCGUGAUCGUACGAUCUUUUUUUGAAAUACUACGUUCCCCAACAGUGGCAUCCGAGCCAGGUCUAUGCAUAGAUGUUAUAUGCACGAGUAGAACACAAAGAGUUGUGGGUGAUAAUAGUCAUACUGCUUACGAGCAACGUCUUACUUUGAUUCGGCGGUAUUGUUGGAUGAAGCAGCCCGGACCGACAUUACAUGACCGCGUUCAUGAGACUGGUUCUACCGAUGUGCUUCGCACAUAGGUGGCUAGCGGGUGUCUGUUUCUCCAGCUUUAGUUGAAUCGAGUUUGACUACGCCCAGUCCUUGUUGAAGGUUAAAACAGCACACUUGACGAAAAAUCAUUGUGGUUUUGAUGCGUAGGUAAGAACGGUUCUUACGAAUAGCCCAUAGCAGCCACGUAAAACUUGCAACAACAAAGUAGAGGACGUCUAACUUGUUUUUGCAGGGCAUGUUGUGAUGUGAUAUGGUCAAGAUGUGAUGAUAUAAAUUGUUGUAUGAGAUGAUCUUGUUUUGUAACAGCUAUCGGCAACUGGUGGGAGCCAUAUGGUUGUUGCUUUGUUGUAUGAAAUGCAAUCGCCAUGUAAUUGAAGGAAGUAUGCCCUAGAGGCAAUAAUAAAGUUGUUAUUUAUAUUUCCUUAUAUCAUGACAAAUGUUUAUUAUUCAUGCUAGAAUUUUAUUAACCGGAAACUUAGUACAUGUGUGAAUACAUAGACAAACAGAGUGUCACUAGUUUGCCUCUAAUUGACUAGCUCGUUGAAUCAAUGAUGGUUAUGUUUCCUAACCAUAGACAUGAGUUGUCAUUUGAUUAACGGGAUCACAUCAUUAGAGAAUGAUGUGAUUGACUUGACCCAUUCCGUUAGCUUAGCACUUGACCGUUUUAGUUUACUGCUAUUGCUUUCUUCAUGACUUAUACAUGUUCCUAUGACUAUGAGAUUAUGCAACUCCCGAUUACCGGAGUAACACUUUGUGUGCUACCAAACGUCACAACGUAAUUGGGUGAUUAUAAAGGUGCUCUACAGGUGUCUUCGAUGGUACUUGUUGAGUUGGCAUAGAUCGAGAUUAGGAUUUUUCACUCUGAUUGUCGGAGAGGUAUCUCUGGGCCCUCUCUGUAAUGCACAUCACUAUUGUAACAUCCCAAAUUUUCAAUUUGGAAUGUUAUACAUAGGUCAUUCAUGCAUAUCAUACUUUAUUGCAUUUUCGUGUUGCGAUCCUCGAAAUUCUAAGCAACUAAAGGACCUACGGGGAGACUUGGGGAUUUCAGUGUUUAUAUUUGAAUUUUCUCAAAUAUCGAAACAAGGAUCACUGUGGUUUUAAUAAUUUUUCUCUCCGAAAAUAUUUCAUAUUAAAAUUAUAUGAGAGGAGAUAAUAUGACUUUUCCAAAAUAAAUGAAAUGUUGGAGGAAAAAUAUUAAAAUCAAUUUAUAUAUUUUAUUUGGAUUUUAUUGCAAUUUUAUUCGAAAUAGGAAAAAAUGCGCAUUUUUCAAAAUUGCAUUAGAGGCGCAAAUAAAUGUUCACUUUGUCCGCUAUAUUUUUAGAGGACGGGGAAAAUUUAUUUUAGGAUUUUUUGGAGUCCGAUUAGUAUUUCUUUUAAUCAUUUUUCUGCGCGUCGACAUAUUUUUAUAAAAAGUUCUAACCUACUCCGGGCCGUAACCGGCCAGGACUCCCCACGCCGGCCCCUUUAUAAGUCGCACCCCACGACCCCGCAGCCCACCCGAGCCCAGCCGCUGCCCCGUGCCCCAAACCCUAACCCUAAGCCGUCGCCGACCGUGCUAGCCGCUGUCGCUGCAUUGCCGCCGUCCCGUUUCAGGAGGUAGCCGCCAGUUUUUUUAAAUGAUCAGUUUUAUUUCAUAAAUCUAGAUCUCGUUUUUUAGAAUCGGUUUUGUUUCGGUUUUUCUCGGUUCGGUUAAAUAGCGUACGUUCGUCCGUACAUUCGUUUUAACGAACGAUGUUGAUCCGUUAGCAGCAGACAGCGAACGUUCGUUCGUUAGCCUUCGUCAGUUUUUCUUUUUCCAGGGUUUUCCGCGAUUAUUUUCGACCGCGACUUCUGCCCUGUUUUUCGUUUUAGUUUAUCUUUUCUCUCGUUUAUCCAAAUCAGGUGAAACAAGCGCCUAGAUCUUCGUCUCGAAGCCCUCUUUCUGUUUAACCAACUUGAAUAAGAUUUUGAUACUGUAAAAUUUGACUUUAGUCCAUAUUAGUAAUCGGAUCUUGUUUCUUUCGUAGUUUGAGUUUCGUUGCUCCGUUUGAUUUGAUUCUUUUUGCAAACCGGAGUUCUUCAGUUGAACUUUCUGGUUAGAUCUUCUUAUUUGAGUUUUAUCCAUGCAUCAUUGCUUGAUUGAUUAUGUAUGCUAUUGUUUGUUUGCGAUAGAACACCCGGAGUGCGAAGCGUGCUACUAUGAGUCUUUAGGAUUUGCAGAUCGUCAGCAAGGCAAGUAACACUUUGAUCAUACCCCUUUAUCACCCAGUCUUUAUGCAUUAGUUUCAACCCUCACAGAUUGCAUGAGUAGGAUCUCUUAACAUGUGGGUCUGGGAAGUAGAUGAUGAGGUAGAACCUAUUACCUGUUUUAUUAUCAAACCCUUGGGAGUUACUUCUACGUUAUGCUUAUAUUGCUAUGCUAUGCUUGUAGACGUGGAUUGGGUUUGAGUGUAUCCAUGACAGAUGUGAGAUGUUAAUUAAUGGUUCAACUUAAGGUGGCAACUUCAAUACACAUCUGGGUAGAUUGCUUGUGGGCACCUGGAGAAUCCAGUGUUGUCCUAGGAUAUCCCGAAGUACCCGUGUGAUCAUCCUACGGUCCGCCACCCAGUCUCAAAGGGAUCAUAAGAUUAUUCAUGCUAGAAACUUCCAUGUGCAUCCACAAGCCAUUACGGGUUCUGGCAUAGUUGAGUGUGUUGUGUGACCUCUUUCAGUGGUGGGCUAGUAGAUGUAGGGGAAAGUAGGUGUAACAGUCCACCCAGAGUAAAGAGUUAAUGCUUUUGAAAGACCGUGUCUCGGUCAUCCGUUUCUCAAACGCCCUGUAGUGCGAGAAAUCCAACGGGGGAGAUCAAGUCUUGUGGGGAAAAGUGCGCAAGCCUCUGCAGAGUGUAUAAACUAAUCAUGGUUAGCCGUGUCCCCGGUUAUGGACAUCUUGAGUAUCUGGUACUUGAAUUAUUGAUUUGAUCUCAUCACUCUAAGAUUAAUUUGUUGGGUUGAUAAUUACUUUUAAUUGGGAUUGAGUUGGAGGAACCUUCUCAAUGUUGUUUCAACUACCAUGAUAGUUAAAUAAAAUAUAUUCCUUUAUUGUAGGGAAAAAUUGGCUUUUCGCAAAAACAUAUUAACCAUAGAGCCUCCAGCAGCCAUAUAUGCAUAUAGUGAUAGCAUUUAUCUGUUCAUUACUAUACUGUGUUACAUUGCCAGCAUAUUCCAUGUGCUGAUCCAUUUUCGGGCUGUAACGUAUCAUGUUGUAGACUCUUCAGACGAUGAGUAAGACGCCGUAGGUCAUUUGUCAUGCACUCAGCUAUGGCGUUGGAGUUGAUGGACUCACUUUAUCUUCCAAGCCUUCCGUUGUUAUCUUAUUUAGAUGGCCUUAAGCCAUAUUUAUUGUAAUAAGUUCUCUUUGGAGACUAUCGCUGUAAUAAGUGUGUGAUUACUACUCUGUUAUAAAUGCUUUGAGUACCGUGUGUGUCAGCAUUACCAAUCCAGGGAUGACACUGAAGCACAGAGACUUGACCGUGUGAGGUUGGGUAACUACAAGAUGGUAUCAGAGCACACGCUGAAUGUAGGACACGACCACUAAGAUGAGCCAUAGGUCACUCUUCUCUACUCAUUUCUGACUCCUCUCCACUUUCUACUCUUUAGGAUGGCGAACUCAAGGAACAAGUUUGCACAACCGGAUGAAGACACACCUUUUGGAUGACACUUGAAGGAAGUCACUAGGUACAUGAACAUCGAAAUACCAAGCUUCACCGGGACCUACACCGCCACUUUACCAGAAGAGGAACGCUGGAUGAUUCGAGUUCAAGUUCCAUGAAGGACAUUUGUGUCGGGGGUUGGGUGCGACAUAUGCCAAAGAAUGGCUUAUCAUGGUGGGAGCGAGUAGAACGUCGCCGGUGCCCGGAAGCGGGAUUAGGCGUAGACACGAACGCCGACAUACUUUACCCAGGUUCGGGGCUCUCCUAGGAGAUAACACCCCUAGUCCUGCUCUGGGGGGUCUCCGCAUGAUCACUAAGGCAAAGUGAGUACAAGGGUGCUCCUCUAGCUGUAUGCUGGAGGUAGGAGAAAGCAAGGCUAUCUUUCUCCUUCCUAUAUCUCUGGUCUAGUUCUAAUGGGUCCCAACCCUUUGCAUGGGUGCCCUGGGAGGUUUAUAUAGGCCUACCCCCCAGGGGUACAAGGGUAAUAUGACUAGGUGCAGGCCCAGCCGUCAGUCUCUUUGGCCGCCGACUUCUCCGCCGACUUCUGGGGCCCGCUGAUCGGGGAGGCCCACCGACUAGGUUGGUAUGGAGCCGACAGGCUGUACCCGCCGCUUGGGGGUCUUGCCGGCUGCUGAUCACUGUAGCCGCGCUUCUAGUGACGCAGGCUUGGUCGAAGGAUCAUGGCUACAGCACCGCCAUCAUGGCGGGCGAUUAUUGUAGCCACUCCCCGUCAUGUCUGGUUAAGGGCGCGUGGGGCCCGUGGGAUGAGCAGGCCGACUCCUAGGGGCCGACUCCCAUCGGGUCCGAUUGGUAGGGCUCUUCGCUGUCCUCUGGACUCUCGCUGAUUGGUGGGGCCCGUUGUCCUUGGGAUGUACAGACAGGCCGUCGUGGGAGCAGGACUCCGCCUGCCUGUAAUGAUGUUAGGGUUGGCAUGGCAACAAUGUCGCACCGGGCGGGGCUCCUCGUUGGUACAAUGCACUGUGGCUGUGCCAGCCCUUAGGUAGGGGAGGGGAUGGGCUGCAUUGUAGCCAUCCCCUGUCCCAUUCCCCUUGAUGUGGGUGCGGGCUUCGAAGGGGCCGCGGGCUGACUCCUCGGAGCCGGCUUUUCUGGAAGCCGCUUGGCAGGAGUCGGCUUGUCUCGACCUCGCCUUCUGGACUCGGCCGUCUACGGGCAACCGGCUAUUUCUCCAGCCGGCUUCCAGAAGCUGGCUCUUUACCUUGGCAUCCUGAGGGGCGCGGUCAGCCCCGAUGUCUCGAAAGGCUAUGGGCGUCGGGUUAGCCUACCCGUGGCCCAUUACUCCGAUAGUAGUCCCCGAAGCUGGUGAGGCGCCGCGGGUGACCAGUCGAGGAGCCUCAGCAGUUUCCUUUCUUCGAGUGCUUGAGGCGAAGCUUCGUUGCCGGGCCGACUUGCAGGAGUCGGACUCGCCCAAUCUGACUUGUCCAAAAUUUUCGAACGCCUUGGCGGGAUCCAAGUGGCGUGCUAGCUAAGCUUCCGGGCCGCCACCCGUUUCGGGCCUGUCACGUGGCGACAAGCAGCCGAGCCAGUCUGCCCACCCACGCGCACGACGGGGCACGCCUAUAGGCGGGGCCCACCACUACCACGCCUUGGCACGCGAGCGGAUCCGCUGUGGCCGGGGUGGACGGUUGAGAUUCCCACGGAGUUACUGCAUGCAGUAACUUUGCGCGAUAAACGUGUGGGCGUGGGGUAGUGGGCGCAGUAAAUCCCACAACCGCCCCCUCGGCUUCGCAGCCCACUGGUCUAUAAGUAGGGGGAGGAGGGGGAGCGGCAGAGCACGCGCGCCCCUCCUCCUCACUGCUUCCUCCUCUUCUUCCUCUCGCCGUCGCGCCCCAAGCUACGCUGAGCGCCACGAUGAUCCGUUCCCGAUGAGCUCUUCUUCCACCGCCACGCCCCCCGCGGUGCACUCCGGCACCUGGGACGGUUCGGAGGUCCACGAUGAUCGCAUAGAUUUCCUCCGCAUGACACGGCGGCUGCCUGGCAAGGACAUCGUGAGGGUUCACCUCGCGCCGAAGAAGGAAAUCUCGCCGGCGCCGAAGGAGGGAGAGCGGGUCAUCUUCCGCUCGCACUGCCUAAGCGGCCUUGGCCUUUCGGCGAGCGGCUUCUUCCGCACCUUUCUCGAAUUCUACGAUCUCCAGCCGCACCACCUCACCCCCAACACGGUGGUGCUGCUGUCCGCCUUCGUUGCCUUGUGCGAAGGCUUCCUCGGCGUUCUCCCCACCAUCGAGCUCUGGGGGGAGUUCUUCUACUCCAAGCUCGGCACCCAAGCCACAGGCAUGCCGGCUCAGUGCGGCGCCUUCAUCACCGUGCGGAAGUCGGGGGCCGACAACCCGUUUCCCCCCAUCCGGCUGAUAAAGUCGGUGAAGAUGUGGCAGUGGUCGUACUUCUACGUGAAGAGCGUCUUCGUGGAGGGCGACUAGGUCAAUCUGCCGGCCUACGUGGCCGGCCCGCCGGCUGGGAGGCAGCCCAACUGGUCGUAUCGGGCCAGGACGCUGACGCCCGUGGGAGCCAGCGCCAUCGUGCGACUCCGAGUGCUGACGCAGUCUGAGGGCCUGACCGGGCCGGAUUUGCUGGCCACCUUCGUGGCGCGCCGAGUGCUCCCACUCCAAAGUCGCCCCCACAUGAUUUGCCAGAUGAGCGGGCAUCAGGACCCGAGUCGUUUGUGCACCAAGGAGAUGCCUCACGCGGAGGUAGCCCACAUGGUGAACUACCUUGCGAACUGCGAGCUCACGGGAGAGUGGUAGUUCGGCAAGGAGCCGUAUUCACGCGCCAACCCUCCGCCCAUGGUGAGUUGUUUCUUUUCCUUUUUCUUUGACUCCUUUGCCGCCGAGACCGUCUUGUCCAAUCUUACCAAUCGGCUUUGGUCAGAACCCCCUCCUCCAUCCGGUAGCCGGCACCAUGGGACCGGCCCGCGAAUUCCUCCCGGACCAGGCGGAGAGCGGCGUCGACGACCCCGACUUAGGGGCGGCGGCCUUGGAGGACGACGUCGAGGGAGGAAGCGGUGAAGUGGGCGGCCCAAGGCUCGGGGCCAGUUUCGAGGACUGGCCUGACAAUGACGCGGAGGAGGUCACCCCACGCCACCAGCCAGGAGCCGGCCAGCCCGGCGCGAGCUCUUCUGCCACGCCGGAUGCCCAAGGCGGCGCAAAGAAGCGCAUGGCUGCACCGAGCAUGUUCGGCAGCCGGCCGAAGAAGCCCAAGGGCUCACCAAGCGGGACGAGGCGGCAGCAAAGGCCCACCGCUUCCGCAAGGAAGUGAAGAAGCCAUUGCUGGUCUCCGCGUAAGUGCUACCUUUCUUGCGCUUUCAUUUUUUCUUUCGUUGAUCUUGUCUGAGUUUGCUUGCUUGUGGCCCUUGGGUCCAGGGCUCCCCUCUCUCUUGACAAGGUCGCUGCCGCCUCCAUCAUGGGGUCGGCGGAGACUUCCGCCACCACUCGGUGGAUUGACCCUGCCGUCGACUUCCGGGAGGCGACAGAGCGGAACGCACGAGAGGUGUGUGAAGAGCAGGAAGCCGCCCGCCUGAAGAAGGCGGAGGCUGAGAAGGCGGAGGCCACCGCGAAGAAGAGACUGGUGGAGGCCGAGGUCGCCGACGCGGUGAAGAAGCGAGCUGAGGAAGCCGCGCACCGCCAGUCGGUGGUUUUUGUUAUUCCUCUAAACUCCGCGCCGCCACCCCCGGAGUUCACGACGCGGACUGGGGAGGCCGGCGGCGAGAACCCGGUCAUGGAGAGGGAUAGCGGCGACACCACCAUGCCAAACGUGAUCGUGCCGCCGCCGCCAUCUGGGAGCGCACAAGGCGAGCAGCCGGCGGACCCGCCGGUGCCACCCACUGAAGACGAGGUGGUGGAGGGCCUAGUUCUCCAAGUCGGCACGCCGACGUGUCGCUGUCUCGCGAAGGCGGCUUCGGCGCCGCGCCCUAUAGAGACCGGCGCCGCGAGCUCCAUGAUCCCGGACACCGAAGCGUCGAGCGCCGCGCCCACUGGGUGGGGGCGGGGAGGCGGGACAGACCCAUUGAACCAGGCGCUUCUGGACGUCCAAGCCAAGAUCCGAGCCGAGGGCGAUGCCAUCAAGAACUGCACCAAGGUGUAUCUGGCAUCGCGAGAAGCCAUCCGGGUACGUUCCCUUCUUCUUUGUCUCUGUUUUUUGUUCUUCUUGGUGGGGCGCGCCAGCGCACCCACUAGGUGUAGUCCCCGAUUUUCGGGCCGGCUGCUGAGCAGGUGGCUCGGAACUCUGAUCAGCGAGUUCCAAGUACUAACACUUGUCUGAAAUUUUGUCACUGGACUACCACAAUCUUCGCGUGACCACCUUCAACGCCAACAUUGAGGAGCUGGCCAAGCGGACCGCCGACUUGUUGGAAAGCCGGAGUGAGUCCUCUUCCUUCUCUGCGGGGGCGCGCUGGCGCACCUGCGGGUUGUAGUCCCCGAGAUUCGGGUCGACUGCCGAGCAGUCAAGCCAGAUCUCCCUGGCGACUAUUCUUUUUCUGUUGGUGACUCUUUCUUCACGGGGGAACGCUGGCGUGCCCGCGGGCUAUAGUCUUCACGAUUCGGGCCGACUGCUGAGCAGUCGGGCUGGAUCUCCUCGGCGACUUUUCUUCCUUGUUGGUAACUAACAUCUUGUUCUCCUCUUUCUUCUGCAGAGGCUAACGCCGCCCUGCAGCAGUAGCUGGGCGAGGCCAACACUGCCCUGCGCACCAAGGAGGAGGAGUGCAUCCAGCUGGCUAAGGAGUGCGACUGGCUGGUCACGCAACUGGCGGAGCAGAAGGGGCUGCUCAAGAAGGCCCAGAAAGAGGCGGAGGACAAGGAGACCGCCCUCCUUGCUGAAUUCGCGUCCGAGCGCUCCUCCUGGACCGACAAGGAGGCGAUGCUGUCCUCCGGCUUCCAUGAGAUCGAGGAUCUCGUCGACGGUGAGCCUCUCCUCACUUUUCUUCUUUGAGCUGCCGGCUAUUGGUCGAGCCGGCUUCUAAUCUCUAAUCUGGCUCUUUGCCUUCCUUUCCUGGCAGACUUCUUCCCUGGCCACUCGGAUGCCGCCAACCAGGCCAUCGAGGCUUAUCGUGAAGGGCGGAGGGCGGAUGGCGUGAAUAUCGCCGCUGACUCCCCCCGAACCCUUAAUGCAUAGAUCCUGAGCAUUGAGGCUCGUCUUCGGCCGGCUCACCGGAUGCUGCGCCGGCUUCAACGUGUCGGCGCCCAGGCGAUCACCGCCCUAUGGCUGGACAUGCAGGCACCACACACCCCAAGUCGGACCGCCGACUGGCUGGAGGUAGCAGCUGGCCGUCUUAAGGCCUGGAAGGGCUCUACGGCCCGGGAUGGAGUGCGCCAGGCCUUAGAGUUCGUCAAGGCGUGGUAUCCUGGGCCGAGUCUAGCCCAGCUAGCCACGUUCCGGCUAGAAGCUCAGGCGGAGUUGGCAGUCGUGGAAGAUGACCUCGUCAAGCGCGCGGCGUCGAUCGCCGAGUACACCGACACCAGUGUCUUCAUCCCGGAGCGGGCUGAGAAUGACAACAAGGCGUCGCCGGAAUGGUUCGGGAUGAAUCCGGCUGACGGCAAGGAUUCAGCGGAGGUGAUCGACUCCAGUGGCGAGGAAGAAUGCGGGGUGGAGGAGGAAGGCGAAGGGGAGGCACCGGAGGUCGGAGCGGACGACCAGCCUCAGCUCGACCGUGCCUCCAACAAUGAGCCACGCCCAACCGAGCCGGCUACCACUGGAGGCGACCAAGCGGAGACUUCCCAGCCGGCGCCGCCGAUUCCGCCGUUCCACCAAGCCCGCCUGCUACUUCCUAGGCUGCCACUUUACCUUUGUUUAUACCUGCUUAUCGGUCUCGAUGAACUUUGUUAAUUUUGCACAAUUCCACCUACGGGGUGUAUCUUGAACUGAUGUUUGAAGAUUGGCCAAAUGCCUUUGCUAUGUAAAUACAUUCCGAGUUCUAUCUCUUCUUGCAUGUUGCUCUCUGGCUUUUUUCCUUUGCCGCCUUCCCUUGGUUGCCGUCUUGCAGACUGUUGCUGGAUCAAGUACUUAGCUUCUUUGGGGAAGGUAAGUACUUAGCCGUUUAGAGUUCUUUGGCAAGUUAAGUAGAACAUGGCGAGCCGGCUGCUCAACAGUCAGUCGUAAGAGGCGGGAAGCCGGCUUAAACUAUGCCCAUGCUUGUGUCCUUAGCCAUUUUUCAUAUGGGCACCCUUUCUACCUUACUCCUACCCACUGUCCAGUCGCUCCGCGAGCUGCGGCUUCUGGCAGGAGACGGCUUAGGUGCCACACAUUACUUGUCCGGCUGCAGGAAGCAUUUUGUAGUGCAAGGUGGCAAGUCCCCGGACCGACUAGUCGGACCCGGUGCCAAGUGGCAUAAAAAAUAACAUACUUAUGGGCAUAACUCUUAUCAUAUAUAUAAAAGAGGGCAGUCCCCGAGCUCGUCGCGGGGGACCCGGAGUCUUCGUACUUAAUACAAAAGGUAGCGUGGUAUAUACUGCUUUAACUGUAAAAUCUUCGGACGAGGUUUGCGUUCCACGGCCGUUCCGUCCCCUUGCCGGAGUCGUCCCUCUUGCGUGCUCGAGGCUUCUGAGCAUCGAUCAGGUAGUAGGAGUCGCUGCCUAGCACUUUGCUGAUGACGAAGGGGCCUUCCCAAGGCGCUGAGAGCUUGUGCUGACCGGUUGUUCGCUGGAUCAGCCGGAGCACAAGGUCUCCCUCUUGGAAAGAUCUCGGCUUGACCUUCCGGUUAUAAUAUCGGCGCAAGCUCUGCUGGUAGAUGCUAGACCGACUGAGUGCUAACAGCCGGCCCUUUUCCAGCAGAUCGACGCCGUCUUGACGUGCUUCUUCUGCCUCCUCUUCGGUGUACAUGGUGACUCGAGGGGAGUCGAACUCUAUGUCCGUUGGGAUGAUGGCUUCGGCAUCGUAGACGAGGAAGAAGGGCGUGAAGCCGGUUGACUUGUUUGGAGUUGUGCGCAGGCUCCAGAGGACCGCCGGCAGCUCGUCGAGCCAACAGCCGGCCGAACGCACCAGAGGCUCGACCAGUCGAGGCUUGAUGCCGGACAAGAUGAGGCUGUUUGCUCGCUCUACUUGUCCGUUUGACCGCGGAUGGGCAACGGACGCUAAGCCCAGUCUGAUGCCCUGCGUCGCGCAGACACGGGCCAAGGCGCCUUUGGCAAAGUUUGUGCCAUUGUUGGUGAUGAUGCUGUGCGGUAUGUCGUAUCUGAUGGUGAUGUCGGAGAUGAAAGUCACAGUCGGACCAUUCAGCUUCUUGAUUGGUUUGGCCUCUAUCCACUUGGUGAACUUGUCCACCGCGACAAGCAGAUGGGUCAUGCCGCCUCGCGCUGUUUUGAAUGGUCCCACCAUGUCCAGGCCCCAGACAGCAAAGGGCCAGGCAAUGGGAAUAGUCUUGAGCGCAGAAGCCGGCUGAUGUGGCUUGGAACGAAACUUCUGGCACCCUUUGCAUUUUUGGACCAAUUCCUUGGCAUCUUCAAGAGCAGUUGGCCAGAAGAAACCAUGGCGGAAGGCUUUGGCGAAGAGUGCUCUUGAAGCCGUGUGGUGGUCACACUCGCCUUGAUGGAUGUCUUUGAGAAUGGCUUGGCCUUGCUCCGACUCCAUGCAGCGCUGGUAGACACCAGUGACACUGCACCUCACGAGCUCUCUGUUGACAAUGGUGUAGGCUGCUGUCCGAUGUUGCCCUUGUCGGGAUGAGAUCUCAUCAGUUGGUAGCUCUUUGUUCACAAAAAAAUUGAGGAUGGGCUGGGCCCAUGAAGGUGCCGCGACUUCUACUGAAGGAAAUAUUCCCUAGAGGCAAUAAUAAAGUUAUUAUUUAUUUCCUUAUAUCAUGAUAAAUGUUUAUUAUUCAUGCUAGAAAUUGUAUUAACCGGAAACAUAAUACAUGUGUGAAUACAUAGACAAACAGAGUGUCACUAGUAUGCCUCUACUUGACUAGCUCAUUAAUCAAAGAUGGUUAUGUUUCCUAACCAUGGACAAAGAGUUGUUAUUUGAUUAACGGGAUCACAUCAUUAGGUGAAUGAUCUGAUUGACAUGACCCAUUCCAUUAGCUUAGCACCCGAUCGUUUAGUAUGUUGCUAUUGCUUUCUUCAUGACUUAUACAUGUUCCUAUGACUAUGAGAUUAUGCAACUCCCGUUUGCCGGAGGGGCACUUUGUGUGCUACCAAACGUCACAACGUAACUGGGUGAUUAUAAAGGUGCUCUACAGGUGUCUCCAAAGGUACAUGUUGGGUUGGCGUAUUUCGAGAUUAGGAUUUGUCACUUCGAUUGUCGGAGAGGUAUCUCUGGGCCCUCUCGGUAAUGCACAUCACAUAAGCCUUGCAAGCAUUGCAACUAAUGAUUUAGUUGUGAGAUGAUGUAUUACGGAACGAGUAAAGAGACUUGCCGGUAACGAGAUUGAACUAGGUAUUGAGAUACCGACGAUCGAAUCUCGGGCAAGUAACAUACCGAUGACAAAGGGAACAACGUAUGUUGUUAUGCGGUCUGACCGAUAAAAGAUCUUCGUAGAAUAUGUAGGAGCCAAUAUGAGCAUCCAGGUUCCGUUAUUGGUUAUUGACCGGAGACGUGUCUCGGUCAUGUCUACGUUGUUCUCGAACCCGUAGAGUCUGCACGCUUAAGGUUUCGAUGACAGUUAUAUUAUGAGUUUAUGCAUUUUGAUGUACCGAAGUUUGUUCGGAGUCCCGGAUGUGAUCACAGACAUGACGAGGAGUCUCGAAAUGGUCGAGACAUAAAGAUUGAUAUAUUGGAAGCCUAUAUUUGGAUAUCGGAAGUGUUCCGGGUGAAAUCGGGAUUUUACCGGAGUACCGGGAGGUUACCGGAACCCCCCGGGAGGUAUAUGGGCCUUAGUGGGCUUUAGUGGAAGAGAGGAGAGGUGGCCAGGGCUGGGCCGGCGCCCCUCCCCCCCUAGUCCGAAUAGGACAAGGAGAGGGGGCCAGCGCCCGCCUUCCUUCUCUCUCUCCUCUUCCCCCUCCCGAAUCCUAUUCCAACUAGGAAAGGGGGGGGGGAAUCCUACUCCCGGAGGGAGCAGGACUCCUCCUGGCGCGCCCUCUCCUGGCCGGCCGCACCCCCCUUUGAUCCUUUAUAUACGGAGGCAGGGAGCACCCCUAGACACACAAGUUGAUCCACGUGAUCAUAUUCUUAGCCGUGUGCGGUGCCCCCUUCCACCAUAGUCCUCGAUAAUAUUGUAGCGGUGCUUAGGCGAAGCCCUGCGACGGUAGUACAUCAAGAUCGUCACCACGCCGUCGUGCUGACGGAACUCUUCCCCGGCACUUUGCUGGAUCGGAGUCCGGGGAUCGUCAUCGAGCUGAACAUGUGCUAGAACUCGGAGGUGCCGUAGUUUUGGUGCUUGAUCGGUCGGGCCGUGAAGACGUACGACUACACCAACCACGUUGUGAUAACGCUUCCGUUGUCGAUCUACAAGGGUACGUAGAUCGUACUCUCCCCUCUCGUUGCUAUGCAUCACCAUGAUCUUGCGUGUGCGUAGGAAAAUAUUUGAAAUUACUACGUUCCCCAAUAGUGGCAUCCGAGCCUAGGUUUUAUAUGUUGGUGUUAUAUGCACGAGUAGAAUACAAGUGAGUUGUGGGCGAUAUAAGUCAUACUUCUUACCAGCAUGUCAUACUUUGGUUCGGCGGUAUUGUUGGACGAAGCGGCCCGGACCGACAUUACGCGUACGCUUACGCGAGACCGGUUCUCCCGACGUGCUUUGCACAAAGGUGGCUAGCGGGUGACAGUUUCUCCAACUUUAGUUGAACCGAGUGUGGCUACGCCCGGUCCUUGCGAAGGUUAAAACAGCACCAACUUGACAAACUAUCGUUGUGGUUUUGAUGCGUAGGUAAGAUUGGUUCUCGCUUAAGCCCGUAGCAGCCACGUAAAACUUGCAACAACAAAGUAUAGGACAUCUAACUUGUUUUUGCAGGGCAUGUUGUGAUGUGAUAUGGUCAAGACAUGAUGCUAAAUUUUAUUGUAUGAGAUGAUCAUGUUUUGUAACCGAGUUAUCGGCAACUGGCAGGAGCCAUAUGGUUGUCGCUUUAUUGUAUGCAAUGCAAUCGCGUUGUAAUGCUUUACUUUAUCACUAAGCGGUAGCGAUAGUCGUGGAAGCAUAAGAUUGGCGAGACGACAAUGAUGCUACGAUGGAGAUCAAGGUGUCGCGCCGGUGACGAUGGUGAUCACGACGGUGCUUCGAAGAUGGAGAUCACAAGCACAAGAUGAUGAUGGCCAUAUCAUAUCACUUAUAUUGAUUGCAUGUGAUGUUUAUCUUUUAUGCAUCUUAUCUUGCUUUGAUUGACGGUAGCAUUAUAAGAUGAUCUCUCACUAAUUAUCAAGAAGUGUUCUCCCUGAGUAUGCACGGAUGCGAAAGUUCUUCGUGCUGAGACACCACGUGAUGAUCGGGUGUGAUAGGCUCUACGUUCAAAUACAACGGGUGCAAAACAGUUGCACACGCGGAAUACUCAGGUUAUACUUGACGAGCCAAUCAUAUACAGAUAUGGCCUUGGAACACGGAGACCGAAAGGUCGAGCGUGAAUCAUAUAGUAGAUAUGAUCAACAUAGCAAUGUUCACCAAUGAAACUACUCCAUCUCACGUGAUGAUCGGACAUGGUUUAGUUGAUUUGGAUCAAGUAAUCACUUAGAGGAUUAGAGGGAUGUCUAUCUAAGUGGGAGUUCUUUAAGUAAUAUGAUUAAUUGAACCUAAAUUUAUCAUGAACUUAGUACCUGAUAGUAUCUUGCUUAUUCAUGUUUGAUUGUAGAUAGAUGGCCCGUGCUGUUGUUCCGUUUAAUUUUAAUGCAUUCCUUGAGAAAGCAAAGUUGAAAGAUGAUGGUAGCAAUUACACGGACUGGGUCUGUAACUUGAGGAUUAUCCUCAUUGCUGCACAGAAGAAUUACGUCCUGGAAGCACCGCUGGGUGCCAGGCCUGCUGCUGGAGCAACACCAGAUGUUAUGAACGUCUGGCAGAGCAAAGCUGAUGACUACUCGAUAGUUCAGUGUGCCAUGCUUUACGGCUUAGAAUCGGGACUUCAACGACGUUUUGAACGUCAUGGAGCAUAUGAGAUGUUCCAGGAGUUGAAGUUAAUAUUUCAAGCAAAUGCCCGGAUUGAGAGAUAUGAAGUCUCCAAUAAGUUCUGUAGCUGCAAGAUGGAGGAGAACAGUUCUGUCAGUGAGCAUAUACUCAAAAUGUCUGGGUAUAAUAAUCACUUGAUUCAAUUGGGAGUUAAUCUUCCAGAUGAUUGCGUCAUUGACAGAAUUCUCCAAUCACCGCCACCAAGCUACAAGAGCUUCGUGAUGAACUAUAAUAUGCAAGGGAUGAAUAAGACUAUUCCCGAGCUCUUCGCAAUGCUGAAAGCCGCGGAGGUAGAAAUCAAGAAGGAGCAUCAAGUGUUGAUGGUCAACAAGACCACUAGUUUCAAGAAAAAGGGCAAAGGGAAGAAGAAGGGGAACUUCAAAAAGAACAGCAAGCAAGUUGCUGCUCAAGAGAAGAAACCCAAACCUGGACCUAAGCCUGAAACUAAGUGCUUCUACUGCAAGCAGACUGGUCACUGGAAGCAGAACUGCCUCAAGUAUUUGGCGGAUAAGAAGGAUGCAAGGUGAACAAAGGUAUAUGUGAUAUACAUGUUAUUGAUGUGUACCUUACUAAUGCUCGCAGUAGCACCUGGGUAUUUGAUACCGGUUCUGUUGCUAAUAUUUGCAACUCGAAACAAGGACUACGGAUUAAGCGAAGAUUGGCUAAGGAUGAGGUGACGAUGCGCGUGGGAAAUGGUUCCAAAGUCAAUGUGAUCGCAGUCGGCACGCUACCUCUACAUCUACCUUCGGGAUUAAUAUUAGACCUAAAUAAUUGUUAUUUGGUGCCAGCGUUAAGCAUGAACAUUAUAUCUGGAUCUUGUUUGAUGCGAGACAGUUAUUCAUUUAAAUGAGAGAAUAAUGGUUGUUCUAUUUACAUGAGUAAUAUCUUUUAUGGUCAUGCACCCUUAAGGAGUGGUCUAUUCUUAUUAAAUCUCGAUAGUAGUGACACAUAUUCAUAGUGUUGAAGCCAAAAGAUGCAGAGUUGAUAAUGAUAGUGCAACUUAUUUGUGGCACUCGUUUGGGUCAUAUCGGUAUAAAGCGCAUGAAGAAACUCCAUACUGAUGGGCUUUUGGAACCACUUGAUUAUGAAUCACUUGGUACUUGCGAACCGUGCCUUAUGGGUAAGAUGACAAAGACACCGUUCUCUGGUACUAUGGAGAGAGCAACAGAUUUGUUAGAAAUCAUACAUACAGAUGUAUGUGGUCCGAUGAAUGUUGAGGCUCGUGGCGGAUAUCGUUAUUUUCUCACCUUCACAGAUGACUUAAGCAGAUAUGGGUAUAUCUACUUAAUGAAACACAAGUCUGAAACAUUUGAAAAGUUCAAAGAAUUUCAGAGUGAAGUUGAAAAUCAUCGUAACAAGAAAAUAAAAUUCCUACAAUCUGAUCGUGGAGGAGAAUAUUUGAGUUACGAGUUUGGUGUACAUUUGAAACAAUGUGGAAUAGUUUCGCAACUCACGCCACCCGGAACACCACAGCGUAAUGGUGUGUCCGAACGUCGUAAUUGUACUUUACUAGAUAUGAUACGAUCUAUGAUGUCUCUUACUGAUUUACCGCUAUCAUUUUGGGGAUACGCUCUAGAGAUGGCCGCAUUCACGUUAAAUAGGGCACCAUCAAAAAUCCGUUGAGACGACGCCUUAUGAACUGUGGUUUGGCAAGAAACCAAAGUUGUCAUUUCUGAAAGUUUGGGGCUGCGAUGCUUAUGUGAAAAGGCUUCAACCUGAUAAGCUCGAACCCAAAUCGGAUAAAUGUGUCUUCAUAGGAUAUCCAAAGGAAACUAUUGGAUACACCUUCUAUCACAGAUCCGAAGGCAAGACUUUUGUUGCUAAAUUCGGAAACUUUCUAGAGAAGGAGUUUCUCUUGAAAGAAGUGAGUGGGAGGAAAGUAGAACUUGAGGAGGUAACUGUACCUACUCCCUUAUUGGAAAGUAGUACAUCACAGAAACCUGUUUCUGUGACACCUACACCAAUUAGUGAGGAAGCUAAUGAUGAUGAUCAUGAAACUUCAGAAGAAGAUACUAUUGAACCUCGUAGAUCAACCAGAGUGAGAUCUGCACCAGAGUGGUACGGUAACCCUGUUCUGGAAGUCAUGCUACUAGAUCAUGAUGAACCUACGAACUAUGAAGAAGCGAUGGUGAGCCCAGAUUCCGCAAAAUGGCUUGAAGCCAUGAAAUCUGAGAUGGGAUCCAUGUAUGAGAACUAAGUAUGGACUUUGGUUGACUUGCCCACUAAUCGUCAAGCAAUUGAGAAUAAAUGGAUCUUCAAGAAGAAGACUGACGCUGACGGUAAUAUUACUGUCUACAAAGCUUGACUUGUCGCAAAAGGUUUUUGGCAAGUUCAAGGGAUUGACUACGAUGAGACCUUCUCAACCGUAGCGAUGCUUAAGUCUGUCCGAAUCAUGUUAGCAAUUGCCGCAUUUUAUGAUUAUGAAAUUUGGCAGAUGGAUGUCAAAACUGCAUUCCUGAAUGGAUUUCUGGAAGAAGAGUUGUAUAUGAUGCAACCAGAAGGUUUUGUCGAUCCAAAGGGAGCUAACAAAGUGUGCAAGCUCCAGCGAUCCAUUUAUGGACUGGUGCAAGCCUCUCGGAGUUGGAAUAAACGCUUUGAUAGUGUGAUCAAAGCAUUUGGUUUUAUACAGACUUUUGGAGAAGCCUGUAUUUACAAGAAAGUGAGUGGGAGCUCUGUAGCAUUUCUGAUAUUAUAUGUGGAUGACAUAUUACUAAUUGGAAAUGAUAUAGAAUUUCUGGAUAGCAUAAAGGGAUACUUGAAUAAGAGUUUUUCAAUGAAAGACCUCGGUGAAGCUGCUUACAUAUUAGGCAUUAAGAUCUAUAGAGAUAGAUCAAGACGCUUAAUCGGACUUUCACAAAGCACAUACCUUGACAAAGUUUUGAAGAAGUUCAAAAUGGAUCAAGCAAAGAAAGGGUUCUUGCCUGUGUUACUAGGUGUGAAGUUGAGUCAGACUCAAUGCCCGACCACUGCAGAAGAUAGAGAGAAAAUGAAAGAUGUUCCCUAUGCUUCAGCCAUAGGCUCUAUCAUGUAUGCAAUGCUGUGUACCAGACUUGAUGUGUGCCUUGCUAUAAGUCUAGCAGGGAGGUACCAAAGUAAUCCAGGAGUGGAUCACUGGACAGCGGUCAAGAACAUCCUGAAAUACCUGAAAAGGACUAAGGAUAUGUUUCUCGUUUAUGGAGGUGACAAAGAGCUAAUCAUAAAUGGUUACGUCGAUGCAAGCUUUGACACUGAUCCGGACAAUUCUAAAUCGCAAACCAGAUACGUGUUUACAUUAAAUGGUGGAGCUGUCAGUUGGUGCAGUUCUAAACAAAGCGUUGUGGCGGGUUCUACGUGUGAAGCGGAAUACAUAGCUGCUUCAGAAGCAGCAAAUGGAGGAGUCUGGAUGAAGGAGUUCAUAUCCGAUCUAGGUGUCAUACCUAGUGCAUCGGGUCCAAUGAAAAUAUUUUGUGACAAUAUUGGUGUAAUUGUCUUGGCAAAGGAAUCCAGAUUUCACAAGAGAACCAAGCACAUCAAGAGACGCUUCAAUUCCAUCCGAGAUCUAGUCCAGGUGGGAGACAUAGAGAUUUGCAAGAUACAUACGGAUCUGAAUGUAGCAGACCCAUUGACUAAGCCUCUUCCAUGAGCAAAACAUGAUCAGCACCAAGGCUCCAUGGGUGUUAGAAUCAUUACUGUGUAAUCUAGAUUAUUGACUCUAGUGCAAGUGGGAGACUGAAGGAAAUAUGCCCUAGAGGCAAUAAUAAAGUUAUUAUUUAUUUCCUUAUAUCAUGAUAAAUGUUUAUUAUUCAUGCUAGAAAUUAUAUUAACCGGAAACAUAAUACAUGUGUGAAUACAUAGACAAACAGAGUGUCACUAGUAUGCCUCUACUUGACUAGCUCAUUAAUCAAAGAUGGUUAUGUUUCCUAACCAUGGACAAAGAGUUGUUAUUUGAUUAACGGGAUCACAUCAUUAGGUGAAUGAUCUGAUUGACAUGACCCAUUCCAUUAGCUUAGCACCUGAUCAUUUAGUAUGUUGCUAUUGCUUUCUUCAUGACUUAUACAUGUUCCUGUGACUAUGAGAUUAUGCAACUCCCGUUUGCCGGAGGAGCACUUUGUGUGCUACCAAACGUCACAACGUAACUGGGUGAUUAUAAAGGUGCUCUACAGGUGUCUCCAAAGGUACAUGUUGGGUUGGCGUAUUUCGAGAUUAGGAUUUGUCACUCCGAUUGUCGGAGAGGUUUCUCUGGGCCCUCUCGGUAAUGCACAUCACAUAAGCCUUGCAAGCAUUGCAACUAAUGAGUUAGUUGUGAGAUGAUGUAUUACGGAACGAGUAAAGAGACUUGCCGGUAACGAGAUUGAACUAGGUAUUGAGAUACCGACGAUCGAAUCUCGGGCAAGUAACAUACCGAUGACAAAGGGAACAACGUAUGUUGUUAUGCGGUCUGACCGAUAAAAGAUCUUCGUAGAAUAUGUAGGAGCCAAUAUGAGCAUCCAGGUUCCGCUAUUGGUUAUUGACCGGAGACGUGUCUCGAUCAUGUCUACAUUGUUCUCGAACCCGUAGGGUCCGCACGCUUAAGGUUUCGAUGACAGUUAUAUUAUGAGUUUAUGCAUUUUGAUGUACCGAAGUUUGUUCGGAGUCCCAGAUGUUAUCACGGACAUGAUGAGGAGUCUCGAAAUGGUCGAGACAUAAAGAUUGAUAUAUUGGAAGCCUAUAUUUGGAUAUCGGAAGUGUUCCGGGUGAAAUCGGGAUUUUAUCGGAGUACCGGGAGGUUAACGGAACCCCCCGGGAGGUAUAUGGGCCUUAGUGGGCUUUAGUGGAAGAGAGGAGAGGUGGCCAGGGCUGGGCCGCGCGCCCCUCCCCCCUAGGCCGAAUAGGACAAGGAGAGGGGGCCGGCGCCCCCUUCCUUCUCUCUCUCUCCUCUUUCCCCCCUCCCGAAUCCUAUUCCAACUAGGAAGGGGGGGGGGAGAAUCCUACUCCCGGAGGGAGUAGGACUCCUCCUGGCGCGCCCUCUCCUGGCCGGCCGCACCCCCCUUUGAUCCUUUAUAUACGGAGGCAGGGAGCACCCCUAGACACACAAGUUGAUCCACGUGAUCAUAUUCUUAGCCGUGUGCGGUGCCCCCUUCCACCAUAGUCCUCGAUAAUAUUGUAGCGGUGCUUAGGCGAAGCCCUGCGAUGGUAGUACAUCAAGAUCGUCACCACACCGUCGUGCUGACAGAACUCUUCCUCGACACUUUGCUGGAUCGGAGUCCGGGGAUCGUCAUCGAGCUGAACAUGUGCUAGAACUCGGAGGUGUCGUAGUUUCGGUGCUUGAUCGGCCGGGCCGUGAAGACGUACGACUACAUCAACCACGUUGUGAUAACACUUCCGUUGUCGAUCUACAAGGGUAUGUAGAUCGCACUCUCCCCUCUCGUUGCUAUGCAUCACCAUGAUCUUGCGUGUGCGUAGGAAAAUAUUUGAAAUUACUACGUUCCCCAACAUCUACAACUAUCAAGACUGUAACUUGGACAAGGGCGGCUGGGCCGGGAGGCGGCGGGUUGGAGUCGGCAGCCGCUUGCUGUGUCGAUGAAGUCCCCGGGCUGAUUGGUGCAGUCCUCGGGCCGAGUUAUGAAGUCCUCGGGCUAGUCGCUGCAGUCCCCGGGCCAGGUUCUGAAGUCCCCGGGCCGGGUGGGACUGCUGCGACCCUCGGGCUGUCCGUCAGAACUCCCGUGCUAGCUGAUUGAGCUCUCAAGUUGGAUCCGACUGCUUCAGGAGGAGCCGACACGAAGAUAGAAUCUGACUCUGGUGAUGGCUUGACAGACGGUUUGAGAAGGCGCUGAAGGGCGACGCCGGUUGGUAUUGCUUGACGGGUGGAGCCGAUUCAUGCCAGGGCGUCUGCUUGGUCGUUGUUGUUUCUUCGCACAUGGAGAAACUCGCAUCCCUCAAAAUAUCCACUGAGUUGUUGUACAAGGAAGCGAUAGCUCACCAUGUUUGCAUCUUUGGUGUCCCAAUCGCCUGACGACUGCUGGACCACCAAGUUGGAGUCCCCAUAGCACAUGAUCCGGCGAAUGCCGAGCUCUUUGGCAAGCCAUAGCCCGUGAAUGAGUGCCUCAUAUUCGGCGACGUUGUUGGAGGCGGCAAAGUGGAUUUGUAGCACAUAUUUGAGCUUGUCGCCUUUGGGAGAGGUGAGGACGAUGCCGGCUCCCAAGCCGGUGCGCAUUUUGGAGCCGUCAAAAUGCAUCCGCCAAUGGGUGGAGUCGGGCGCUGGCGGCAAGUACUGGGUCUCGGCCCAGUCGACGAGGAAGUCGGCCAACGCUUGUGACUUGAUGGCGGUGCGAGGCUGGUAGUAGAUGGUGUAGGGGGCCAGAUCUAUGGCCCAUUUGGCCACUCGGCCCGAAGCAUCUCAGCUUCCAAUGAUCUUGGCCAGUGGAGCUGUGCAGACCACAGUGAUUGGAUGCUCUUGAAAGUACGGUUUCAAUUUUUUGGCGGCAAAGUGCACGCCGUAGCACAUCUUCUGGUAGUGGGGGUAGUUUUGCUUGGAGGUCGACAGUACUUCACUCAAAUAAUAUACCGAUCUCUGGACUGGUAGGGCUUUGCCUUCCUCCUUGCGCUCUACCACGAUGACUAUGCUGACCACUCGGCUGGUUGCGGCGAUGUAUAGGAGCAUGGGCUCCUUAGGAGUCAGAGCUGCCAGGAUAGGUGGAGUAGUCAACAUCUUCUUCAACUGGAGGAAAGCUUCGUGAGCCUUGUGGUUCCACUCGAAAAAAGUGGUCUUCUUCAUGAGUUGGUAUAGGGGGAGAGCCUCCUCGCCCAGCCGACUGAUGAAUCGGCUGAUGGAUGCCAAACAGCCGGUGAACUUCUGUACGUCCAGCAGUUGGCUGGGUACUUCCAUCGUCUCAAUGGCCUUGACUUCACAGGGUUGCAUUCUAUGCCGCGUUCGGAGACCAGGAAGCCAAGAAGCUGGCCGGCUGGUACUCCGAAGACGCAUUUCUCUGGGUUGAGCUUGAUUUGAAAUCAGCGCAAGUUCUCAAAGGUCUCCUUGAGGUCUUCUAGAAGCAUUCCACGCUUCUCCGUCUUCACCACCACAUCGUCCACGUAAACGUGGGCGUUUCUGCUGAGUUGCUUGAGGAGGCACUUCUGCAGGCAACAUUGAAAGGUGGCACCGGCAUUCCUCAAGCCGAACGUCAUAGUCAAGUAGCAGAAGGCUCCAAAUGGCGUGAUGAAGGCGGUCUUCAGUCUGUCAACUGGGUUCAACUUGAUCUGGUGGUAUCCUGAAUAUGCAUCCAAAAAACUCAAUAGCUCGCAUCCGGCUGUGGAGUCUAUUACUUGGUCGAUUCUUGGUAAAGCAAAUGGGUCCUUGGGGCAUGCUUUGUUGAGGCCGGUGUAAUCAAUACACAUAUGCCACUGCUUGUUCUUCUUCAGCACAAGGACCAGGUUGGCCAACCACUCUGGAAAGAACACCUCCAUGAUGAAGCCGGCUGCCAGCAGUCGGGCAAUUUCUUCUCCGACGACUCUUCUCUUCUCUUCUCUUAUCUUCUGACAGGCGACGCAAGGGCUGCCUGACUGGCUUGGCAUCACACCGGACAUGUAAUUUGUGCUCGGCGAAAUCCAUCGGGACACCUGGCAUGUCUUUGGGGGACCAUGCGAAGAUGUCCCGAUUCUCACGGAGGAAAUCACCGAGCUCGCCUUCCUAUUUGCUGUCGAGGUUUGUACCUAUGACAGCGUACCUCUCCGGGUGCUCUGGGUCCAAGGGUAUCUUCUUUGUUUCUUUGGCCGGCUUGAACGAGCCCUCAGUUUCUGACUCCUUGGGAUCGGGCGACAUCUCUGGCUGCUUGCUUGCCAUCGCCACAACCUGGUCAAGGAGCCGCUUCUCAGCUGCGAUCACGAGGGACUUGGCCAAUCGACUCCUCUUUGCUACGCAGGCGGAUGACUUCUUGUAGUCUCCAGCUAUGGUCAGAAUCCCCUUGGAACUCGGCAUCUUCAUCUUGAGGUAGGCAUAGUGGGGGACAGCCAUGAACUUCGCCAGUGCAGGCCGACCAAGUAACGCAUGGUAUGGGCUCUCAAGGUCCACCACUUCAAACCAUACUGACUCUCGGCGGAAAUGAUCUUUGUCUCCAAAGAGGACAUCUAUCAGAAUCUUGCCAAUUGGUGAGCAGGAAAGGCCAGGAACUAUGCCAUGGAAUACUAUCCGGCUGGGCUGAAGCUGCCUCUAUCUGAUUCCUAAUUUCUCCAUGGUAUCCUUGUAUAGGAUGUUAAUGCUGCUUCCGCCGUCUAUCACGACUCGGGAGAAGCGAGCUGCUCGCUUGUCCGUGGCAAAGGUGGCAUCCAAAAUCAGGGCAUAGGAGCCGGGCUUAGGCAUCACCUCCGGAUGGUCAGCUCUGCUCCAGCUGAUGGGCUUUUUAGACCAAUGCAUGAACUCUGGGGUCUCUGAUGCUACCGCAUUUACUUCUUGUUGCUACAGCCGCCUGCCGCGUCGAUCAUCGGCCACACUGGUGAAGAUGACAUAGGCUUCAUGCUCUUUUGGGUAUUCGUCUUGUAUUGCGCCGAAUGGUCUGACCGCCGGCUGCUGGGGCGGGGGAGGAGGCGGCUGCCCAGCAUGCGGGGGAGGCAUGAGGCCGUCUCCCUUGACGAUCCUGGUGAGCCAGUGGCACUUCCGAGUGGUGUGGUUGGACAGCUUCGCACCACUAUGGAAUUUGCAGGGAGCAUCCAAAGUCUGCUCAUAUGAGAAAGACGGCAGCCAGUUGGGCUUGCCGCCCUUCUGUCGUUUGGGCGGAGGCGGCCCUUCCGACUGCUGGUCUUCGACUGUUGCCACCUGUCGGCUGGUGGAAGCCGGCUGAAUGGCCUUACGCUUUUGGUCGUUCUGUUGUUGACGCUGACUGGCAUCUCCAGCCAGGGGUUCGAGGAGCCUGAGGAGCCACCUUGCCAGUCGCACUAACUUGGAUUUCCGCCUUCAUGGAGGAGUCGGCCGUGGUAUAUUUGUCUGCUAUGAUCAGCAGCUGGUUGAGGGUCUCUGGCUCAUCGCAGAGGAGCUUGUGCUUAAGGAGGGAUCCCUCUCGGCACCCGGCGGUGAAGUAUUCGAUGGCCUCCACAUUGUGCACGCCCUCGCAGGAGUUACGGAUCUCGGCCCAACGCGUGAGGUAGUCGCGAGUUGACUCAUUGGGGCCUUGCACGCACAAGGAAAGCUGGCGCGGUUUGGGAGGCCGCUUGUAUGUGCUGGUGAAGUUGCGAACGAAGGCAUCGGUGAAGUCGACCCAAUUGUUGAUGUUGCAGGUCUUCAAGCUGUGCAGCCAAGUCUGGGCCGUGCCCUGGAGCAUGAGCGGAACAUACUUCACGGCAACACGCUUGUUGCCGUUUGAUAUGCUGACAGCUGUGGAGUAGUCAACUAGCUAAUCUUCCGGCUUCACAGAGCUGGUGUAUUUGGGCGUGUCUAUUGGGAGUGUGAACCCUCUGGGGAAAGGCUCGUCUCGAAUGCGGGGGCCGAAACACGGCGGACCCAACUCAUCUUCUUCUUCAAGCGCCAGGGAUCGGUGGAGAAGGUCGAUCCAGUGGCGGGCAUCAUUCUCUCCGACUCCCUCUCGGCGGCCAAGGCGGUUGCCGAGUGUCGGGUGGUCAACAGGCGGCAGGGAGACUCCCCUUUCCCUGUGAGGGGGAGGAGGCGGACAGUCGUCCCGUCGUUCCACUGCUCUUGGGCGGCCGUCUUGGUCGCGCUCUAUGGUGAUACGAGUCCGACUGCGGCUAGCAGCCGGCUCCUUGUCUUUUCUUCCACGGACGCCACCGGUUGGUGUCCGAGAUGUCGUGCCUUGGUCUCGGCGGGGAUGCAGGUCAUCAUUCUGCCAACGCAGCGCAUCCGUGCAGCAACCGGCCUCAUUCUGCUCGACAGCCACGUCGAGGAGCCGCUGAACGCGCUCCGCCAUCAGGUGAUGCUCCUCGCCCUCGAACUUGUCUAGCUCGUCUGCUGCCGCUUGGGCAGCUCGGAUGUUUUCCGCCGGCAUGGCGUAGACGGGGCGAUCUGCCUCGAACAGGUUGGCGAUGGCCACGCCACGCUGCUGGACUACGCCAAGGCGGCUGGGUCCGGCGGGAGCCGGCGUGCCGCCCACAGCGCGGUCCAACUCGCGUUGAUAGGCCUCCGACAGGCGUCUCAUGCUGGCCAGCUUCUUGGCGCCUUCGACAAGCUGAAGGCGGCGCGCUUCUAGCAUCUCGGCAUCGGCGUCUUCGCGAAUGGGCGUGAUCAGGUCUAGUAGUGCCGCAUCAAGCGGGUCACGAGCAUCUCCGUCGGAGUGCUCGCCGUGACCGAUGGCAAGUACCUCCGUGACUGUGCUUUCGCCGCUCUUCGCGUGAGGGAGCGGCUCGUUGUAGACCACCACGUUGGUGCGGAACGCGUCGAGCGACACGGUGUCGGAGUCGACCAGUAUCGGGUCGGUGGAGCCUAUGGACUCCAAGUCCACAGCAGGCUCGCUGGCAACGUGGAGUUGGUCGAGGAGGCCCGCGAGGAGUCUCUCGGGGCCGCCCGUGCCCGCGUCGGAUGCGGGCUCAUUGAAGAGGCGGACCUCGCCGACAAGAUCGGCAUGGCAACUGGUCGCGCAGGCGAUUUCCGCGCCAAGCAGCGCGUCGGCGCAGACUCCGUCUGGCGUGCCGGGCUGGCUGCGCUCGCCAGGGAGAAAAAGGGUUACCGUCCAGAACAGGUCUCCGGACGACGGUGCACCUUGCCCCAUGAUGGGCGCCAAAUGUCGGAGGUUGGGUGCGACAUAUGCCAAAGGAUGGCUUAUCAUGGUGGGAGCGAGUAGAACGUCGCCGGUGCCCGGAAGCGGGAUUAGGCGUAGACACGAACGCCGACGUACUUUACCCAGGUUCGGGGCUCUCCUAGGAGAUAACACCCCUAUGUUGGAAAUAUGCCCUAGAGGCAAUAAUAAAUUAGUUAUUAUUAUUAUAUUUCAUUGUUCAUGAUAAUCGUUUAUUAUCCAUGCUAGAAUUGUAUUGAUAGGAAACUCAGAUACAUGUGUGGAUACAUAGACAACACCAUGUCCCUAGUAAGCCUCUAGUUGACUAGCUCGUUGAUCAAUAGAUGGUUACGGUUUCCUGACCAUGGACAUUGGAUAUCGUUGAUAACGGGAUCACAUCAUUAGGAGAAUGAUGUGAUGGACAAGACCCAAUCCUAAGCCUAGCACAAAGAUCGUGUAGUUCGUAUGCUAAAGCUUUUCUAAUGUCAAGUAUCAUUUCCUUAGACCAUGAGAUUGUGCAACUCCCGGAUACCGUAGGAGUGCUUUGGGUGUACCAAACGUCACAACGUAACUGGGUGGCUAUAAAGGUUCACUACAGGUAUCUCCGAAAGUGUCUAUUGGGUUGGCACGAAUCAAGACUGGGAUUUGUCACUCCAUGUAAACGGAGAGGUAUCUCUGGGCCCACUCGGUAGGACAUCAUCAUAAUGUGCACAAUGUGACCAAGGAGUUGAUCACGGGAUGAUGUGUUACGGAACGAGUAAAGAGACUUGCCGGUAAUGAGAUUGAACAAGGUAUCGGGAUACCGACGAUCGAAUCUCGGGCAAGUAUCGUACCGAUAGACAAAGGGAAUUGUAUACGGGAUUGAUUGAAUCCUCGACAUCGUGGUUCAUCCGAUGAGAUCAUCGUGGAACAUGUGGGAGCCAUCAUGGGUAUCCAGAUCCCGCUGUUGGUUAUUGGCUGGAGAGUUGUCUCGGUCAUGUCUGCAUGGUUCCCGAACCCGUAGGGUCUACACACUUAAGGUUCGGUGACGCUAGAGUUGUUAUGGGAAAUAGUAUGUGGUUACCGAAGGUUGUUUGGAGUCCCGGAUGAGAUCCCGGACAUGACGAGGAGCUCCGAAAUGGUCCGGAGGUGAAGAUCGGUAUAUUGGACGAAGGGUAUUGGAGUCCGGAAUUGUUCUAGGGGUACCAGGUGAUGACCAGUGUGUCCGAAAGGGGUUUCGGAGGCCCCGGCAAGCGUUGGGGGGCCUUAUGGGCUAAGGGGAGAGGGCACAUUAGCCCACUAAGGGGCUGAGCGCCCCUCCCACCCCAUCUCACGUAACCAGGAGAGGUGGGGGCGCCACCCCUAGGGCAGCCGCCCCUCCCGGCUUGGGGGCAAGUUUCCUAGGGGGUGGGGGCGCCCAAACCCAUCUAGGGUUUCCCCUGUGGCCGCCGCCCCUCCCCUAGGGAACCCUAGGGCGCCUCCCCCUCCUCCCUUCCCCCUAUAUAUAGUGAGGGAGAGAGUGGGCAGCCGCAACCUUUCCCUGGCGCAGCCCUCUCCCUCCUCCAACACCUCGUCCUCCUCCGUAGUGCUUGGCGAAGCCCUGCCGGAGAACCACGAGCUCCAUCACCACCAUGCCGUCGUGCUGUCGGAGUUUUCCCUCAACUUCUCCUAUCCCCUUGCUGGAUCAAGAAGGAGGAGACAUCCCCGGGCUGUACGUGUGUUGAACGCGGAGGUGCCGUCCGUUCGGCACUAGGAUCAUCGGUGAUUUGGAUCACGACGAGUACGACUCCAUCAACCCCGUUCACUUGAACGCUUCCACUUAGCGAUCUACAAGGGUAUGUAGAUGCACUCCCCUCUCCCUCGUUGCUAGAUGGAUCCAUAGAUUGAUCUUGGUGAUGCGUAGAAAAUUUUAAAAUUCUGCUACGUUCCCCAUCAGUGGCAUCAUGAGCUAGGUCUAUGCGUAGUUUCUAUGCACGAGUAGAACACAAAGCAGUUGUGGGCGUCGAUAUUGUCAAUUUACUUGCCGUUACUAGUAUUAUCUUGAUUCGGCAGCAUCGUGGGAUGAAGCGGCCCGGACCGACCUUACACGUACGCUUACGUGAGACUGGUUCCACCGACUGACAUGCACUAGUUGCAUAAGGUGGCUAGCAGGUGUCUGUCUCUCCCACUUUAGUCGGAUCGGAUUUGAUGAAAAGGGUCCUUAUGAAGGGUAAAUAGAAAUUGGCAUAUCACGUUGUGGUUUUGGCGUAGGUAAGAAAUAUUCUUGCUAGAAACCUAUAGCAGCCACGUAAAAAUUUGCAACAACAAUUAGAGGACGUCUAACUUGUUUUUGCAGCAUGUGCCGUGUGAUGUGAUAUGGCCAAAAGGAUGUGAUGAAUGAUAUAUGUGAUGUAUGAGAUUGAUCAUGUUCUUGUAAUAGGAAUCACGACUUGCAUGUCGAUGAGUAUGACAACCGGGAGGAGCCAUAGGAGUUGUCUUAAUUUAUUCUUGACCUGCGUGUCAACAUAAACAUCAUGUAAUUACUUUACUUUAUUGCUAAAGCGUUAGCCAUAGUAGUAGAAGUAAUAGAUGACGAGACAACUUCAAGAAGACACGAUGAUGGAGAUCAUGAUGAUGGAGAUCAUGGUGUCAUAGCGGUGACAACGAUGAUCAUGGAGCCCCGAAGAUGGAGAUCAAAAGGAGCAAAAUGAUAUUGGCCAUAUCAUGUCACUAUUUGAUUGCAUGUGAUGUUUAUCAUGUUUUACAUCUUAUUUGCUUAGAACGACGGUAGCUUAAAUAAGAUGAUCCCUCACUAAAAUUUCAAGAAAAGUGUUCCCCCUAACUGUGCACCGUUGCGAAGGUUCAUUGUUUCGAAGCACCACGUGAUGAUCGGGUGUGAUAGAUUCUAACGUUCGAAUACAACGGGUGUUGACGAGCCUAGCAUGUACAGACAUGGCCUCGGGACACAUGCGAAACACUUAGGUUGACUUGACGAGCCUAGCAUGUACAGACAUGGCCUCGGAACACGGAAGACCGAAAGGUCGAACAUGAGUCGUAUAGAAGAUACGAUCAACAUGAGAUGUUCACCGUUGAUGACUAGUCCGUCUCACGUGAUGAUCGGACACGGCCUAGUCGAUUCGGAUCAUGUUUCACUUAGAUGACUAGAGGGAUGUCUACCUGAGUGGGAGUUUAUUAAAUAAUUUGAUUAGAUGAACUCAAUUAUCAACAUAGUCUAAAUUGUCUUUGCAAAUAUGUUGUAGAUGAAUAGCUCACGUUGUAGCUCCCUGUUUCAAUACGUUCCUAGAGAAAGACCAAGUUGAAAGAUAUUGUAAGCAAUGAUGCGGACUAGGUCCGUAGUCUGAGGAGUGUCCUCACUGCUACAGAGAAGGCUUACAUCCUUGAUGCACCGCUCGAUGUGCAAACCCCUACAACGUCGUUUGUGGAUGUUGUGAACACCUGACAGACACAUCCUGAUGACUACUUGAUAGUUUAGUGCACCAUACGUUACGGCUUAGAAUCGGGAUUCCAAUGACGUUUUGAACGCCAUAGAACAUAUGAGAUGUUCCAAGAGCUGAAAUUGGGAUUUUAGGCUCAUGCCCGUGUUGAGAGGUAUGAGACCUCUGACAAGUUCUUUUGCCAACAAGAUGGAGGAGAAUAGCUCAGCUAGUGAGCAUGUGCUCAGAAUGUCUGGGUGCUACAAUCACUUAAAUCAAGUGGGAGCUAAACUUCUAGAUAAGAUAGUGAUUGAUAGAGUUCUCUAGCCACUAUCACUAAGCUAUUAGAUCUUCGUGAUGAACUAUGACAUGCAAGGGAUGGAGUUGAUCCCGGAGCUGUUCGCGGUGCUUAAGACCGCAAAAGGUAGAAAUCAAGAGGGAGCAUCAAGUGUUGAUGGUUUAACAAGACCACUGGUUUCAAGAAGGGCAAGGGCUAGAAGGGAAACUUCAUGGAUGGCAAACCAGUUGCCGCUCCAGUAAAGGAACCCAAGGUUGAACCCAAACCCGAGACUAAGUGCUUCUAUUGUAAGGGGGACGGUCACUGGUAGUGGAAUUACCCCAAAUGCAUGGUAGAUAAGAAGGCUGGCAACUUCAACAAAGUAUAUACAUGUUAUUAAUGUGUACCUCACUAGUACUCCUGGUAGCACCUGGGUAUUGGAUACUUUCAGUUGCUAUUAUUGGUGACUUGAAGCAAAAGCUACGGACUAAACGGAGACUGCCUAAGGGAGAGGUGACGAUGUGUGUUGGAAGUGUUUCCAAAGUUGAUGAGAUCACCAUCGCACGCUUCAUCUACCUUCGGGAUUAGUAUUGAACCUAGAUAAAUGUUAUCAGGUGUCUACGUUGAGCAUGAAUAUGAUUAGAUCAUGUUCAGUGCAAUACAGUUAUUCAUUUAAGUUAGAGAAUAAUGGUUAUUCUGUUUACAUGAAUAAUACCUUCCAUGGUCAUGCACCCUAUGUGAAUGGUUCAGUGAAUCUCGGUCGUAGUAAUACACAUGUUCACGCCAAAAGAUGUAGAUAGUACCACUUUCUUGUGGCACUGCCGCUUAGGUCAUAUUGGUGUAAGAUGCAUGAAGAAACUCCAUAUCGAUGGAUGUUUGGAGUCACUUGAUUUUGAAUCGCUUGACACAUGCGAGCCAUGCCUCAUGGGCAGGAUGACUAAGACCCCGGUUUCAGGUACAAUGAAACGGGCAAGUGACUUGUUGGAAAUCAUACAUGCUGAUGCGUGUGAUCCAAUGAGAAUUGAAGCGUGCGGUGGAUAUCGCUAUUUUCUCAUCUUCACUGAUGAUUUGAGUAGAUAUAGGUAUAUUUACUUAAUGAAGCACAAGUCUGAAACGUUUGAAAAGUUCAAGCAAUUUCAGAGUGAAGUUAAGAAUCAUCAUAACAAGAAGAUCAAAUUCCUACGAUCUGAUCAAUGAGAAUUUCUGAGUUAUGAGUUUGGAAAACACUUAAGACAUUGUGGAAUUGUUUCACAGUUGAAGCCACCUGGAACACCACAGGGUAAUGGUGUGUCCGGACGUCAUAAUCGAACCUUAUGAAAUAUGGUGCGAUCUAUGAUGUCUCUUACCAAUCUACCGCUAUUAUUUUGAGGUUAUGCAUUAGAGACAGCUGCAUUCACUUUAGAUAGGACACCAUAUAAGUCUGUUGAGACGACGCCGUAUGAACAUUGGUUUGGCAAGAAACCAAAGUUGUCGUUUCUUAAUGUUUGGGGCUGCGAUGCUUAAGGCUUUAGCCGGAGAAGCUCGAACCCAAAGCGGACAAACACAUCUUCAUAGGAUACCCAACGGUGACAGUUGGGUAUACCUUCUAUCUCAGAUCCGAGGGCAAAUUGUUUGUCGCUAAGAACGGGUCCUUUCUCGAGAAGGAGUUUCUCUCGAAAGAAUUGAGUGGGAGGAAGAUAGAACUUGAUGAGGUUGUCGAACCUUUACUUCAACCAGAGAGUGAUGCAACACAGAAAGAUGUUUUUUGUGGCGCCUACAUCUGUUGAAUAGGAAGUUAAUGAUAGUGAUCAUGAAGCUUCAGAUCAAGUUGCUAUCGAACCUCGUAGGUCGACAAGGAUAUGUACUACUCCUGAGUGGUACGGUAAUCCUGUCUUAGAUAUCAUGUUGUUAGACAACAAUGAACCUACGAGCUAUGGAGAAGCGAUGGUGGGCCCGUAUUCCGACAAAUGGUUAGAAGCCAUGAAAUCCGAGAUAGGAUCCAUGUAUCAGAACAGAGUAUGGACUUUGGUGGAUGAGGGAGUCCUGGAUUAGGGGGUGUUCGGAUAGCCAAACUAUACCUUCAGCCGGACUCCUGGACUAUGAAGAUACAAGAUUGAAGACUCUGUCCCGCGUCCGGAAGGGACUUUCCUUGGCGUGGAAGGCAAGCUUGGCGAUACGGAUAUGAAGAUCUCCUACCAUUGUAACCGACUCUAUGUAACCCUAACCCUAUCCGGUGUCUAUAUAAACCGGAGGGUUUUAGUCCGUAGGACAACAUACACAUCAACAAUCAUACCAUAGGCUAGCUUCUAGGGUUUAGCCUCUCUGAUCUCGUGGUAGAUCUACUCUUGUACUACCCAUAUCAUCAAUAUUAAUCAAGCAGGACGUAGGGUUUUACCUCCAUCGAGAGGGCCCGAACCUGGGUAAAACUUCGUGUCCCUUGCCUCCUGUUACCAUCCGGCCUAGACACACAGUUCGGGACCCCCUACCCGAGAUCCGCCGGUUUUGACACCGACAUUGGUGCUUUCAUUGAGAGUUCCUCUGUGCCGUCGCCGUCAGGCCCGAUGGCUAUUACAAUCAUCAAUGGCGAUGCAGUCCAGGGUGAGACCUUCCUCCCCGGACAGAUCUUCGUCUUUGGCGGCUUUGCACUGCGGGCCAACUCACUUGGCCAUCUAGAGCAGAUCAAAAGCUACGCCCCUGGCCGUCAGGUCAGAUUCGGAAGUUUAAACUACACGGCUGACAUCCGCGGGGACUUGAUCUUCAACGGAUUCGAACCACUGCCGAGCGCGCCGCACUAUCACGACGAGCAUGAUCUAGCUCUACCGCCGAACAGUGCCCUGGAGGCCGCACCCGCAUCGGCUUCGACCCUUAGUUCGGAGCCAACCGCGCCGAUCGAGGAUGGGCGGUUGGACGCCACCUCGGGGGCUGUAAUCCCAAUAGCGGUUGAGCCGAACACCAGCCCCGUACUCUGCAAGACUUGUGACUCCAUGGAGCCGGAUUAUUCUCCGGACUCCGAACCCUCCGCGCCCCUGCCGAUCGAAUCCGAUUGGGCGCCGAUCAUGGAGUUCACAGCCGCGGACGUCUUUCAGCACUCGCCUUUCGGCGAUAUCCUGAAGUCACUGAAGUCUCUCUCUUUAUCAGGAGAACCGUGGCCAGACUACGGCCAGCAAGGUUGGGGUACGGACGAUGAAGAAAUUCAAAACCCACCCACCACCCACUUCGUAGCCAUUGUCGACGACUUAACCGACAUGCUCGACUUCGACUCUGACGACAUUGACGGUAUGGAUGCCGAUGAAGGAGACGAUGAAGAAUCAGCGCCUAUUGAGCCCUGGAACGCCACCUCGUCAGACGGCGUAUACAUGGUGGAGGCACCAAAAGAUGACGACGAAGAGCUGAAGGACGCACCGAAGGAUUGUUCCCUCGAAAAGCAGUCAAAGCGGCGACGCAAGCGCCGCCCCAAAUCCCGCCUCGACAUAAAUAGCGAUCACACAGACCCAUCGCUGGAGCAGGGCGAACCGCUGCCGGACAACGGCAAUCUGGAUAAUCAAACCGAACAAACAAACCCUAUCAAGGAUAAUGGUCCGGACGACAUAACACCGGACAGGCACCCAGAGCAGCAUAACGCCCGUAAAAGGCUUGUUGCCACCGCGAGGAGUCUUAAAAAGCAGAAGCGAAGGCUCAAGGCUGCGCAAGACACACUCCAAUUCAGAUGGAGCAAAAUACUCAACACUGCAGCAAGGUACGGCGACAAUCGCCCCUCCAAGAGCUACCCAAAGCGGAAGCUGCUACCCGAAUAUGAUGAGGAGGCCGCAGACCCCCCACAACCAAAUAUCAAAGCAGCCACCUGGUCGGAUAGACGACCCCUCUACCAACACAGAGCGGCAUACAACGCUGCUCACAAUACAACAUGCAACCCAGGCGAGGGUUCGCACCCAAAGGACGGCGCAACAAGAUCCAUCUAUGGACCACACAAGCGCCCCCCAGCAUACAAUCCAACACAACAAAUAUCCGAACAACACGGUACACCCAGCUACAGGGGUGCCGCACACCCUCUAUGUUUCACCAACGAGGUGCUGGACCAUGAAUUUCCAGAGGGAUUCAAACCCAUAAACAUAGAGGCAUACGAUGGAACAACAGACCCCGGGGUUUGGAUUGAGGACUAUAUCCUUCAUAUCCAUAUGGCUCGAGGAGAUGAUCUCCAUGCCAUCAAAUACUUACCCCUCAAGCUCAAAGGGCCAGCUCGUCACUGGCUCAAAGGCCUCCCCGAAAGCUCCAUUGGAAGUUGGGAAGAGCUCGAAGACGUUUUUCGGGCAAAUUUUCAAGGGACUUACGUCCGACCUCCGGAUGCGGACGAUCUGAGUUAUAUAACUCAGCAGCCCGGAGAGUCAGCCCGAAAGCUUUGGAAUAGGUUUCUUACUAAAAAGAACCAGAUUGUCGACUGUCCGGACGCCGAAGCCUUAGCGGCUUUCAAGCAUAGCGUCCGUGACGAAUGGCUCGCCAGACACCUCGGCCAAAAUAAGCCGAGAAUGAUGGCCGCAUUAACAAACCUCAUGACCCGCUUUUGCGUGGGUGAGGACAGCUGGCUAGCCAGAUGCGCACCAGCGACCCCAGUACAUCGGAAGUUAGAGAUGGAAACGGGAAAUCACGGCGCAACAGCAAUAACAAACGCCGGAAUAAAGAAGACAUCAUGAAUGGCACGGCAGUAAAUGCCGGAUUCAAAAGCUCUCGGCCAGGUCAAAAGCCGCCCACUAAAGGCACCAGGGAUGAACUGUCCAGCCUCAACAAAAUUCUGGACCAAGUAUGUCAGAUCCACAGUACCCCGGGUAAACCUGCUAAUCAUACCCACAGAGAAUGUUGGGUCUUCAAGCAGUCCGGCAAGCUCAACGCCGUUCACAAGGGGGAGGACACACCAAGUGAAGACGAGGACGAGCCCCCCAAGCAAGACAUGGGGGAACAAAAGAAAUUCCCACCAGAAGUGAAAACAGUAAACGUACUACACAUGAUCAAGGGAAAAAACAAUGCGGCACCCCCAGGAAAAUAUACCCAAGUGCCUGUCACCUCGAAGUCCUGCCAAUGGUCGUCUCAACCGAUCACUUUCGACCAUCGUGAUUACUCAACAAGUAUCCGACACGCAGGAUGGGCUGCCUUGGUAUUAGACCCAGUAAUUGGCGGAUAUCACUUCACACGAGUCUUGAUGGACGGCAGCAGCAGCCUAAACCUAAUAUACCAGGAUACAAUCCGCGGGAUGGGGUUAGACCCAACACAAAUUCGCCAUAGAAAUACUACCUUUAAAGGAGUAACGCCAGGCCCAAGGGCUCGUUGUACGGGCUCCCUCCUACUACAAGUUAUAUUCGGCUCCCCCGAUAACUUCCGUAGCGAGCAUUUAACCUUCCACAUCGCUCCGUUUCAAAGUGGCUAUCAAGCACUGCUCGGGCGUGAAGCUUUCGCUCGCUUUAAUGCAAUACCACACCACGCCUCCCUCACACUCAAGAUGCCCGGUCCACGCGGCAUCAUUUCAGUGCACGGAAAUAUCAAGCGAUCUCUGCGCGCCGAAGAGAGUGAGGCUGCCUUGGCAGCCACACACUAAAGGCGCCCGGACUAGCCAAAGCGCCCCAUAGGUCGUCAAGACCUCAGACACAACUAAUUGAGUCCGGCGCCGCUACUUAUACCGAAUAAAUGGUCACACCCCUAUUUACAAGGGGCUCAACGCGCGCAGACAUGUGGCCAUUCCUCCUCAUCUUGAAUUAUGCAUAGUUUCUUCAAUUUUCUUUUUGCAUGACAACCUUUUUCACCUAAAUUCCUCUCUUUUAUAGACGAUCAUCGUGCUACACCCGUCCAGGAUACGGCACAAUGGAGACACAGGCGUAGACGGGCAGCAGGGACCCACUCCAAGGAUUCUUUUUAGAUUAAGACCCUGCCUAAACCUUUUUUACUGUCUCUUGUUGAUACACAUCCACCGUUGAGAAGGAUGUUGACGUCUUGGCAUGUGGCCAUGCCAGAACAAUGCACGUACCUGGACACAAGGGGCUUCUCACAAAGGCCAUUACUUAGGCCCGGUUUAUACCACAAAGACCGAAUACCAUAGGGAGUGUUCGGCGUCGCGAGUUUGGACCUAUAUGCAUCAGCUCCGAAUCAUUGUCUUUGGUCAAAUGUUGGGUUUGCCCGGCUCCUGUGUUUUGGUGCCUUACGUUCCGCUUUACCGGCUAAGGUAGCACCAGGAGAACUACUGUGAUUGUGCCCUGGUUCAUCCGGACGAGCACCUCAGUAGAGAAAGCCGAAAACUGACUGUCAUGAUAUAGCGUGAGACUGGUCAACCACUCAAUGACCCAUGGGAAUGUUAGAAUUCCCCCGCCUUAAUGAAGGGCCGCUUUCCGGCCAGGCAUAUACGCACCCCGGGACCAGGAGAGUGCGGAGCCACCAGGGGCUAUCUAGUAGCCCCACUGUCAAACUCCUAUGGCUAAGUGAAAGUGUUAAAGCAUUAUAGUCUGGUUGCCUCGCUCGCUCCGCUAUCACCUCCUUAAUAGGACCAAGACGUUGGGUUAAGUGUGAAUGCGUGUUUCUGUGAACACCUCCGCAUUAUAUGCGUGGGGGUUGAAGCCGACGACUACAAUCUUUCAGGUUAUACACAUGCAUACAUAAACGGCCGCCCAGGAGGCAUCACAAUACUUUCAGGCAAAAGUAUAAAAGUAGACUUAUGAAAAUGUAUAAAAGCAUUUCACUUACAAUGAGAUUACAUGUCACUCAAACAUAAUAUCUUUUGAGCACUAGGUCUCUAUCAAACGAGCACCCUCAAGAACUUCCUCAAAGUAGUGCUCAGCAGCCCUUCGACCUAUGGUCGAAUCCUGCGCUGCAACAGUGGUAGCAUCCAUCUCUGCCCAGUAUGCUUUAGCACGGGCAAAGGCCAUUCGUGCACCUUCUAUGCACGCCGACCUCUUCAUCGCAUUUAUGCGCGGCACCAUGUCAAGGAACUGCUGCACCAAGCUGAAAUAGCUGCUCGGUUUUGACCUUUUCGGCCAUAGCUGAUCCACAACAGACCUCAUGGAGAGUCCGGACAACCUAUUUAGUUCGGCCCAUUCAGCUAAUUGGUCCGUCAAUGAAAGCGGACGCUCGGGAGAAAGGAAUUGUUUCCAAAACAGCUGGUCUACUUCAUGGUCCGUCUGACUCUGGAAGUACUUGGCCGCAUCGGCAGCGCUCGCCGCCAAAUCCAUAUACACAUCUUCCGAACUCCACAGCCGAUCCAGAGGAGCAUACCGUGGAUCUCCGAACUUCCUCUGUAGCAUAAAGGAUUUCCCGGCUACAAUAUCCCCGGCUUCCCGCAGCUCCUCCUUCUUUGCCCUCAGUGCAGAGUGGAGGUCUUUUCCCGUUGCAGCAGCCUUCUCAAGGGCCGAUACCUUCACCUGCUUUUCCUUUUCAAGAACCCAGCAACGGUCGGUGGCGGCUUUUAAUUCUAUGGCCGUCUUGCCAUCUUAUCUCGGCUCUCGCCAUGCGCGGCCUUCUCGGUUUGCAACUCUUCGGCCGCCUUCAAAGCAGCCGCAUUACCCACCAUCGCUUGUUCCUUGGCUCGGGCAUGUUCUGCCCGCAAGGCUUCAACAGUGGCAGCUCCAUCUGCAGUCACAACACAUUAAAGAUACUGGCAUCAUGCUUCUCUUCCUAUGUGGCGUUUACCAGAUAAUGACACUUACCUUGGGCCUCGUCAAGCCUUUUGUUAACAAGCUCGAUGUUGGUGUCUGCCGCAUCCAACUGCCAUUCUAAAUGGGCAAACUCGCGAGCCUGGCUAGCCACCAAAGCUUCCAUUACCUGCACAUAAAGGCAGUAUGGUUAUUACCUGGGAAUAUGAUCCUCUGUUCGUCAUCGUUUCGAACAACGACCAGAGUCUCAGGGGCUACUAUUUACACAAGGCACACCUAGUAUGUGCAGGACUAUCAUACAUUAUUUUACAUACCUCAAAGCCUGUCAGUAGACUCAUAAAAGCUUUAUGCAAUCCGCUUUCGGCGGACGAGAUUCUCUCCAUCACCGUAAUCAUCAGCAAACGGUGUUCAUCUGAGAUGGCCGCUCGCCCCACCAACUCCCUCAGAACAUUCGAUCGCACACUAGACGGUGUCGAACUCUUUUGUCUGCUCUCUUCGGGAGCCGGACACUGGGAGCUUCGGGGGUCGGCGGGAUUAUCUUUUGGCCUCGCCGGACUUGGAGAGGCCCUCCACGACGACACUUCAGGGUCGCCCGCUUCCGCAGCGAAGGAGUCCGGAGGAGGCGUUUCGCUCUCCAUCAUCUCUGGAAGAAGAUCCCCCGAAGACGAGCUCAUUUGAAAGGGGCUAAGGCCCGAACUGCUAAGAUAUAUGCGGUGGUUAUUUUCUCAGAAGAAAAAGAUGGCAUAUCUGUACUGUUAAAGUAUUCCGGGUCACUUACGACUCGCGGGAGAAUUGAUCCCCCCGCGGACUUUGUGCGGCAACAGCACCCCCCAAGGUAGGACCCUCGGUGGGAGACUUCUUCUCCUGUUUGGAAGCUUCGGCUUCCGAAUCCCCGGGCGUGGUCCUUUUCCUCUUCCGGUCGUCUUCCUUCAUGGAGACACCCUGUAGCGACCAGACCUCAAAUAGUCUGAUCUCUGUGCUCUGGUGUCAUCCCUGGAUCAGUAAUGCUGACACCACACAGUACUCGGAGGAUUUAUAUCAGAGUAGCAAUCACACACUUAUUACAUCGAGUGUCUCAAGAGAGAACUUAUUAUAAUAAAUAUGGCUUAAGGCCAUCUAAUAAUGAUAACAACGGAAGGCUUGGAAGAUAAGUGAGUCCAUCAACUCCAACGACAUCACUAAGUAUUGAACCACGACCUAAAAACUCCUUAAUCAUCGUCUGAAAAGUCUGCAACAUUAACGUUGCAGCCCGAAAACGGGUCAGCACAUGGAAUAUGCUGGCAAGGUAACACAUAGAGAGUAAUGGAAUGAAACAGCUAUACUAUAUGCAUAUUUGGCUGGGGGAAAGCUCUAUGGUUAUAGUUUUGCGUAAAGCCAAUUUUUCCCUACUUCAAAGGAAUAAAAUUUUAAUUACUAACAAGGUGGUUGUUAAACAUUGAGAAUGGUUGACAACAUUCUCAAUCCCAAUUAAGCAUCAUCAUUAAACAUAACCCAACAAAAUUAAUUUAGAGUAACAUGUUGAGAUUCACAUGAUAAUCCAAGUACUAGAUACUCAAGAUGUCCAUAACCGGGGACACGGCUAACCAUGAUUAGUUUGUUACACUCUGCAGAGGUUUGCGCACUUUUCCCCACAAGACUCGAUCGCCUCCGUUUGUUUUCUCGCACUACAUGGUGUUUGAGAAGACGGAUGACCGAGACAUAGUCUUUCAGAAGCGCUAGCACCUUACGAUUGGGUAGACCGUACCACCUACAUCCCUUACAUCUGCUAGUCUACCACUGUAAGAGUUCGCACAACUUAGUCAACUAUGCUAGAGCCCAUAAUAGCUUGUGGCUGCACACGGAAGUUUCUAGUAUGAAUAGUCUCAUGAUCCCUUUAAGCCUGGGUGGCGGUCCAAAAGAAAACAGGCAAGUCCUGGAAUACCCAGGUGCCUCAAUCCACCCAGAUGUGUGUUUAAGUUGCCACCUUAGAUAAACCAUUAAUUAUCAAUCUCACAUCUGUCAUGGAUAUCACUCACCCAAUCCACGUCUACUAGCAUAGCAUGGCAUAAUAAGCAAACGUAGAAGUAACUCCCAAAGGUUUGAUAAUAAACAGGUAAUAGGUACUACCUCAUCUACUUCCCAUCCCACAAUUUAAUUAGAUCCUAAUCAUGCAAUGUGUGAGGAUUGAUCUAAUGCAAUAAAACUGGGUAGUAGAAAAAGGUAUGAUCAAAGUGUUACUUGCCUUGGUGAUGAUCCGGGAAACCUAACGAUUCGAAGUAACAGGCGGCGCACUCCGGAUACUCUAUAGCAGACAAACAAACAAGCAUACAAUAAGUACUCAUAUAAUGCACAGGUAAAACUCAAAUAAGAGAUCUAACCAGAAGGUUUAACUUAAGAACUCCGGUUGGCAAAAAGAAUCAAAUCGAACGAAGCAACGAAAGUCAAACGGUGAAAGAAAACAACUUCGUUCUAGUAAUCUGGAUCUAGGGCAAGUUUUACAGUAGCAAAAUCUUGUUUAAGUUGGUUAAAUGGAUAGAGGGUUUCGAGAUGAAACUCUAGGCGCUUGAAUCGCCUGAUUCCGAUAAACGACUGAAAAGUUAUACUAAAACGAAAAUCGGAUCAAGAAUCGCGAUCAGAAAAAUUGCCGAUUUAAUCCGAGAAAAAGAAAACAACGAACGGAUUAACGAACGAACGUUCGUUAUCCAGAUCUAAACGAUGAACGUGUUCGUUUAAAUGAACAAACCAGCGAACACUCUCUAUUUAACCUAAACCGAAAAAACCGAUCUAAAAAAACGAAACAAAAAAAAAC
Molecule: long non-coding RNA, 65990 nt
Filed under: Triticum aestivum (bread wheat)
Lineage: Eukaryota; Viridiplantae; Streptophyta; Magnoliopsida; Poales; Poaceae
Description: long non-coding RNA (TAES_LNC010163)
Source: RNAcentral